This 55066-nucleotide long non-coding RNA is filed under the name Triticum aestivum (bread wheat). Its description in RNAcentral is "long non-coding RNA (TAES_LNC020299)". The stretch from base 755 to 842 matches the Rfam family "Small nucleolar RNA Z161/Z228". Lineage: Eukaryota; Viridiplantae; Streptophyta; Magnoliopsida; Poales; Poaceae. The record is from RNAcentral.
AACAGUUUUGUGCUUCACUAUAAUAUCAUCAUAGAUCAUAUGCAUAAGUUUGUUUGGAUGCAGUUUGGUAAUUUAGAUGAUAGUUUUCUAUAUUUGUGGCUGAUAUUGUUAUGCAUUUUUUUUUGGCUUGUGGAUCUAUACUGAUUGUAUUACACAUGACUUGUGCCUUUUCAUUUUGGAUGGGGCAUAUGAUGAGAAACUGUAUGCAAACUCAUGACGGUCGUCUAAGAUACUUUGUGUAUAAUGUUGCAAUCAUAUUUUCUCUGAUGUCCCUUGUUCUUGAAGUCUGGGGUAUGCUAUCUGUGAUGGCCCUUGUAUUGCUGUAAUCAUGUUCUUGUUUAAUUGAGUUUUGCAAUCUUAAUCUGGAAAAAUAAUGCAAUCUAAAUGUUUCUGAGUUUCAUAAUGCCUAUUCAAAUCUAUUAAGUGAAUUACAUGCCUGGGUAACCUUGGCUUAAGAUAUGUUUUUUUAGUUUUCUGAAUUACCAUUUGUUUAUCUGAACUUGUAAAUCCCAUGUUGCUCUUAAAGGUUUGAACAACAUGAUUUUCCUUGUUUUUGUUUAAUGACAUUCAUCAGUCUAGAACCGAUCCUUGUAAACUGUAGUAGUGUCAGACCUCAAGAUGGUGAUUUAGAUCAUGCUUGGUUAGUUGUGAGGUUGCCUAUUUCUGUUGGUUUAUGUUAGGCAGUUUGUUUCCAGUUAUUUUGCCAAUAUUUGUACAUUUUUGGCUGGUCAAUCUGUACUGAUUGAAGGAUACAGGACAUAUGAUGAGAAACUUAUGUCACUCACGACGGUCGUCUGAGACACUUUGUGUGUAAUGUUGCAAUCAAAUAUUCUCUGAUGUCCUUGCUUUUUCAGCUUUGCAAUCUUAUUCUGGAAAAUUAUUUCAAUCUGAAAUUCUUAGUUUCAGAAUCUCUAUUCAAAUUUAUGAAGGUUGUAGGUCAAGUCUUCCAUGGUUUAUAUGCUAAUAGAUCCUUUUUUGGGCAAUCUUAUUUUGAGUUGAUUGAUAAAUGCUUAGGGAGUUAAUUUUUCAUAUUAACUCUUUUGUAGUUAUGUAAAAAUAUCUAACAGUGCAUGUUUUUUAUGGCACAAUGAGGAGUUAAUAUAUCUCUACCGAGGUUGGAAGACCAAUGACUCUUUAUGUCCUUUUCAUUCUGAGUGCCCUAUUUUGCUGCAAACCUCUUUAUUUUGAUUGAUAUAUGCUGUUUUCUUCUUGGUCUUUGUCUACCAGCCUUUUCAUUUUCUUCGCUGAACAGUUGGCUUUUGUGAAUGAACAUGUCUGGGUAACCUUGGCCUAAAUUUUGUUUAUUGGUUUUCUGAAUUUCCAUUUGUUGUUAAACUUCUAGCUCACUUGUCUUCAAGGUUUGAACAACAUAAUUUCCUUGUUGUACUUUGAACAUUUUCAUCACUCUAGUCUUGUCUUUACUGUAGAUGUGAGACUUAUCAUAUAUAAUGAUCAGCACUUGUUGUUUCUUUAGUGCUGUUUUUAUCCUUUGAUGAUCUUACUGUUGUAUAUGUUCCUUCACAGGGUUGGAAAGCAGCUUGUCAACAUUCCUUCUUUCAUGGUGAGGGUGGACACUGAGAAGCACGUCGACUUCUCUCUCACCAGCCCCCUGGGUGGUGGCCAACCUGGAAGAGUGAAGCGGAAGAACCAGAAGAAGGCCUCAGGUGGUGGUGGUGAUGACGGCGAGGAGGAGGAAGACUAAGCGCCCAGCCUCACCCGCAUAACUUUCGUUGCAGAAAUGUUGAGAUUGCCUUGUGGAACUCGGAAAUGAUUCAAACUUUCCUUCUUAGAAACUUAGUGGUGUAGAGCUUUCGUUGGUUCAGAAUCUUUUGGCUGUCGGUUCUAAAAUUAAACUUAUGUGUGUCGGUUUUGCUUGGUUAGUGACCACCGAGCAGAAGUGAACUCUUGAGGCUGCUUCGUUUUUUGUGAACCAAACGUAUCUUGUUUAUCGAUUUGACAAGCCUGGUUCUGAGUUAUUUUACUCUGCAUGAAAUGUUACUGUUGUCCUUACUAUUUUUCUCUUUUGUCUGAUCGGUUAGGCUGGUGACAAUUUCGAGUGUGUCGACCGAAUGAUACUCUUUCCCUGUCUAUAAUUACAAUUGUAGUAUUAGUAACUAAUCGUAAUGGGAAUGAGAAAUUUGUAGAAAUGCCGUAAUUUUAUCGAGAAACAUCACCGUCUUUGGAUAUCAGCCGAAACAUUCCUAUGAUACAUUCUUUGGAUAUUUGGGAUACAACCUUAGUGAUUCUUACCUCAGCAGCCCCGUUAGCUGAUUGCCGAUUCCAGCUUACCUCGUGUCAUUCCUUGCUAGCCAAAGAGCGUAUAAACCCUGGAUUAUCGUCGACCUCUUCCUCCGUGGCUUCUGCGGAUCAUGGCAUCAUCCAUCUCACUCUGAGAGCCUGCUGAAACAGGUGGCACCAUCCCCGGAGCUCCCAAUUCUGAGCACAAAUAUCUCCAAAAAGGUAUCGAGUGAGGACAUUGCCCAAAACCUGUGAUAUAAUGUCUCUCCCUACCACAUGUGGCGCAAUACACACCCGCCUUGAUCUGUCGACGACGAAGCUCACCCCCAACAGCGAGGCCAUUGCGCAUUAGCGGCCAUGUAUGUAUUCUUCUUUUUCUUUAUUUGGUCUAUCCCAUGGUGCAAGCCAUCCUUUGUGGUUGACAACGGUCGAAAAAGGUUUCUGUCAUCCGGUCUCAUGCGAUUCUUUGUCAUGGGCAAUUGGGCAGGUUAUCAGAAUUGCUAUUCUAUUAUAUGAUUUUACGACUUUACAAUCCAUACUAACUUCUUUGAUUCUACGAUUUUGGUUAGUAGAAUCUACGUUUUUAUGAUUCUGAUAGUUAAGAUUGUAUAAUUUGUGAUUCUACCAUCAGAGCUUCGAUCCGAUUCAGAAUUACAAUUAUGACAACCUUGGUUGACUUAACUGUGCACCGUCCUAAAAAUAAUAAUUAGAAAACAUAAUCGCCUUCAACAUCGACCUUACCAACAGAGGGCAAAAAGGGCCUCCCUUUCGAUUUGGAAAGAGCACCCCGAGAAUAAUAUUGAGCCGUUCUUCAAAUUCAAAGGUGAAUGCCGAUGCAACAAUAUAGGAUUAACGAAGAACCUCAAAGCAAGUUUGCGUUCACCACAAAACGUCAUAUCUGAUUUGGCCAAACAUAGAUCCACAAUUGUUUUCCCUUUCAUCUCCAUGACCCUAAAAGAGGUGAGGAACAAGGCCAUCAUAAGCCUGAUCCAGCCGUACGACAAGUUUACUAGGGGUCCCAUCGGGUCCACCACUUGCAAUCACAUAUUUCUCCAUAGAAAAUAACUAAGCUAAGGGGCGUGCGCCUUGAAACACCGCUAGAGAGCGCCGGAGUGAAACCCCACAACAACAUAGCGCCACAAAUGGUGAGGCCAUCGGAGGAGGAAGGGAGGGGUGCCGGAGCACCCUCAACGACUCCCAAGGAGGAGAGAUAAAGGGAAGGGGAAUAAGCCUACUUUCCUGUUUCCGAACCUAUCAUCGCUUAUUACUUGCCUUGUUUCUACAAUAAUCAUUGCUUAACUCAUGUUAGAUGAUAGAUUAGAGCAUGGUCAAUAAUGUAGCCGGUUGGUGGCUAUAGAGAGGGAACUGGAUCCUCUAACAUUAAGAAGGAAAGUUAGAGAAGCUACAAUUAGAUGCCAAGCCAUGUAAAGUUUUUAUGAAAAAAUAUUCAUAGAAUAGGUUCGCUCUUAGAUAGGCUCCAAGUACUCCCUCCGGUCCUUUUUAGUUCGCAUAUAAGAUUUGACUGAAGUCAAGCCUCAUAAAGUUUGACCAACUUUAUAGAAAAAAGUACUAACAUUCACAAUCUGAAAUCAAUAUUAAUAGAUGUGUCAUGAUUUAAAGUUUCAUAUUGUAUAACUUUAGCAUGUCAGAUGUUGAUAUUUUUUCAUAUAAGUACGGUCAAUUUUUGUGAAUUUUGACUUCAAAGAAUUUUAAUAUGCAGAGUAAAAAGGACUGGAGGGAGUAUUUAGUAUUUUCAUGAACAAUGCAUAAGAUUGGAAGUGAACUAUAUGCAUACUACUUUUUCCCGAUCCAUGUGCCAUAGCAGAGAAUAAGAGGCCACUCCAGACUCUAUCAUUUCUUCUCACUCUUCCAAAUAAGAUUUUAUGGAAUGAAAAGUCUUGUAGCCUACUGAUUAGGCUUUAUUAGACUUGCUUUUAGAGCAUGGUUAAUAGUAUAAUCAAACUGCUGGCUAUAUGAUCUUGUCACAUCAUCUGUAGUCGAGCUUAUAGCCGGCAAGUACAAUAAUUGCGUGUAAAUAUGUACUACUUUAUUGAUACAUGGUCUAUCUCUCACUCUCAUAAAGAAUCUAGGAGCACAUGCUACAACCGGUUAUUAAUAAGUAGUUCGCUUUUCUUCUCUCUCUUCUUCUCUCGUCUUUAUCUCAUAAAAAAUAUAUUUAAAGUCUUACAGCCCGCCUACAUCAUCUUAUUGUACUUGCUCUUAUCACAUUUAUCAUACUAAGAGCAUCUACAGUCAGACUUGGCAAAUCUGACCCCUCAAACACCUACGGAUGCGCCCGGGCGCGUCCGCAGACAGUGACCGAUCACGCCUCAAAUAAUCCAUUACACAACCGGAUACCUUAAAUUAGGAACCUCAAAUCCAUACUAUUACAUGCAACACAAACCUAAUCUUAAGCGAAGCCCGUCCAACUCCGCCGCUCCCAUGUCCGGCGGCUGGCUGCGCUCCCCAGAGUGUUUGUCCGUUCGUCGGCGAGUAGAGUAGGACAUGGGGCAGAAGCCGACUCACGAAACUCAAUGCGUCACCGUCUCCCAUGCUCUACACUUUCUCGUCGGAGCCCGGAACCCUGACGCUGUCAGUGGACGACAGAUCGAUGAUGGACCCAUCCUAGGAUGAGCCGACGACAUCCCCCAUGAUGCAGUUGCAGCACCCGGACUAGUGCACAGCAUGGGACACCGAAGAAUGCGACUUCGCCACGCCAACGUCCACUGCUGCCUCGCACGGCGGGCACGGCGGGCCAUGUUUGCGUCAGACGACGCCCAUGGUGCGUCAUGCUGCUCAGCCCUCCAACGGAGGGGCGCGUCCGCCACUGCUUUCGGACACCAGACGAACCGCACCGCCUCCGAUGAGGCAGCGAUGCCACAUGCCACGGCGGAUCCAUGCGUCAUUUGGGCGGACGCAAUGGAUUCCCGACAGAAGGAGUCCGAGAUCUGCCGUCGGGCGGCCUCCUCACGGGAGCGGCGGCGGAGCGCAAGGCGGACGGUCAUCUCCUCCUCGGGGCCACGUGGGAUGAGCUUAGACUCGACGGAUCUGGAGGUGUUGGGCUCGGAUCCGCUGGCUGCCAUGCCGAAGCAGUCCGGAGGGCGCGGAUAGGAGCUUCGAUGGCGGAUGGGAGUGGAAUAAAGUGGCUAGUGUUUGGUUCUAGAAGUGGGUGAAGAGGAAUAUACAUGGGGCUGGGUGGGUCAGCGUGGACCGGGUCCAAUGUGACGAACGCCCACAUAUCCAUCUCAGAUUUGGGCUGGAUAUGAGGGUUAGCCCGGACAUUUGUGCCCCGUUUGAAGCUUCCGUCUGAGUUGGUUUUUUGUGAUCGAUCACUAACUGGAUUGUCUGUUUGGACGUAUGAGACGGGUUUGAGGCGUCUAGCUGUAUAUGCUCUGAGCAGUGAGCUACGUAGUGCAUAGUUACCAUAUAAAUAAUAAAAAAUCAAGGAGUUUGGUUUAGUUAAUUAGCUCGUGGUUUGCGUGGAUAAGGACAUGUUUCGCUUGAAUCCACUGCACAGCCUGAACAGAUUCGCUACGAGGGUCACGCCUUUCGAUGGAAAGUGGAAGAAAUAUUGUUUGUUGCAGAAAGUGAUCUUUUAUUUUGUUAUUAUGCAGGAACAAUAAUGACAGUGCCAAAAAAAAUCUAAGAGCAUUUGGCUAACGUUUUAGAAGAUUCCUUGCAAAAAUAAAACUCGCAAAUAUAAUUUCUUUAACACAGUAUCGACAUAGACGCUUAUAUAUGCACGCAUACACUUAUUCUUAUUAUAACACACAUUCUACUCCUAUAAGCACCUUUAAAAAAUCGAGUCGGCAUAUUAUCUUGAGAUUGAGGAAGUCACUAAAGGCGCCUUGUAGUCAAUGGGAAUUUUUCCUCACACUAAAUGUGCAUAGCUGAAAGUACUGAAAUAAAUUCAAGAAUAAAUGUGAGCACCAGGCCAUGAACUUUGAUGGGUUGGGAAUACCACUUCCACAUAAGGGCAUAUCCAAUAGCAAUCCGUAAAUUUCCUCCCCUCAUCCGUCCGCAGACAUGGAUGCGAGAGGCCGCCGUCCAACCGUAGCCGCAUACACCCGGUUUUCUUUAUCUUUUUAAAUGCACACGAUCAAAUAGCCGCAUACAUAGGGUACAUACGUUCAAGUAGCCGCAUGCAGUAGUACUUCAAAAUUUAAAAAGUUCAAAUAUUACAUCCCAACAUUGUUUUCCCCUUUAACCGCCCAUUGAUACUCAAUCAGAUUUUCGUUCAGCUGCUCGCGAGUUCGUCAAUGCCGAAUUUGUUGAUGCAUUUAAAUAAACUCUUUAGAUAUGGCCGGAUUCUGGUCUGGAAGUUGGAUAGGAUCACCCAUGUUCUCAAAUUCUAGUGCCGCGGCAUCAUCGCCACCCUCAUCCUCAACGAACAUGUUGUGCAUGAUCACAGAACAUGUCAUGACCUCCCACAAGGCCUCCGGGUCCCAUUGUUUAGCAGGUCCACGAACAAUCGCAAAAUGGACCUGCAGAACUCCAAAUGCUCUCUCGGCAUCCUUUCUAGCUGCUUCUUGUGUUUGGGAAAAAUGAACCUUUUUCUGGCCAACUAGGUUAGAGAUGGUACUGACAAAAGUAGCCCACGGUGGGUAGAUACAAUCAACCAGAUAGUAUCCUAUAUUGUACUCAUGCUCAUUGAAAAUAUAGUAGCAAGGAAGAACUUUUCCUUCAAUCAGCCUCGCGAACAACGAUGAUCACUGCAGCACAUUGAUGUCAUUGUUCGACCUGGAAUGCCAAAAAAAGCAUGCCAAAUCCAAAGAUUUUGUGAUGGAACUGCUUCAAGAAUUAUGGUGGGCUUCUUAACACGACCCUGAUAUUUCCCUUGUAAAGCCUUCAGAUAGUUCUUCCAUUUUCAAUGCAUGCAGUCAAGAGAUACAAGCAAACCCGGCCACCCUCCUGCUUCUCAGAUUGCUAAGAGCCUCUCGAUGUCUGCCAGAGGUUGAUAGAGGCAAGGGUGUCCCAAUCUUUCGAUGAGAUGAUAACUAUCGAUUUGGUGGAGACGACUUUGACGAUCCGACUACAAACAUGCAAGACGUCGCGCCUUAGCAAUCGCUAAAUGAUACGUCUCCAACGUAUCUACUUUUCCAAACACUGUUGCCCUUCUUUUGGACUCUAACUUGCAUGAUUUGAAUGGAACUAACCCGGACUGACGCUGUUUUUAGCAGAAUUACCAUGGUGUUAUUUAUGUGCAGGAGCAAACGUUCUCGGAAUGACCUGAAACUUCAUGGAGCCACUUUUCAGAAAAUAAGAAAAAUACCUGCAAAAGAUGAAGCCAGGGGCCCACCACCUUGCCACGAGGGUGGAGGGGCGCGCCUGCCCCCUAGGGCGCGCCCCCUACCUCGUGGCCCCCCUGUUGCGUCUUCGACUCCAACUCCUACUCCAUAUAUUGAGUUUCGGGGAGAAAAAAUCAGAGAGAAGAAAUCAUCGCAUUUUACGAUACGGAGCCGUCGCCAAGCCCUAAAACCUCUCGGGAGGGCUGAUCUGGAGUCCGUUCGGGGCUCCGAAGAGGGGAAUCCGUCGCCAUCGUCAUCAUCAACCAUCCUCCAUCACCAAUUUCAUGAUGCUCACCGCCGUGCGUGAGUAAUUCCAUCGUAGGCUUGCUGGACGGUGAUGGGUUGGAUGGGAUCUAUCAUGUAAUCGAGUUAGUUUUGUUAGGAUUUGAUCCCUAGUAUCCACUAUGUUCUGAGAUUGAUGUUGCUAUGACUUUGCUAUGCUUAAUGCUUGUCAGUAGGGCCCGAGUGCCAUGAUUUCAGAUCUGAACCUAUUAUGUUUUCAUCAAUAUAUGAGUGUUCUUGAUCCUAUCUUGCAAGUCUAUAGUCACCUAUUAUGUGUUAUGAUCCGUUAACCCCGAAGUGACAAUAAUCGGGAUACUUACCGGUGAUGACCGUAGUUUGAGGAGUUCAUGUAUUCACUAUGUGUUAAUGCUUUGUUCCGGUACUCUAUUAAAAGGAGGCCUUAAUAUCCCUUAGUUUCCGUAAGGACCCUGCUGCCACGGGAGGGUAGGACAAAAGAUGUCAUGCAAGUUCUUUUCCAUAAGCACGUAUGACUAUAUUCGGAAUACAUGCCUACAUUAUAUCAAUGAACUGGAGCUAGUUUUGUGUCACCCUAGGUUAUGACUGUUACAUGAUGAACCGCAUCCGGCAUAAUUCUCCAUCACUGAUCCAUUGCCUACGAGCUUUCCAUAUAUUGUUCUUCGCUUAUUUACUUUCCCGUUGCUAUUGCUAUCAUCACUACAAAAUACCAAAAACAUUACUUUUACUACUGUUACCUUUUGCUACCGUUACCACUACUAUCAUAUUACUUUGCUACUAAACACUUUGCUGCAGAUAUUAAGUUUCCAGGUGUGGUUGAAUUGACAACUCAGCUGCUAAUGCUUGAGAAUAUUAUUUGGCUCCCCUUGUGUCGAAUCAACAAAUUUGGGUUGAAUACUCUACCCUCGAAAACUGUUGCGAUCCCCUAUACUUGUGGGUUAUCAAGACUAUUUUCUGGCGCCGUUGCCGGGGAGCAUAGCUCUAUUCUUUGAGUCACUUGGGAUAUAUAUCUGCUUAUCAUUAUGAAAAACUUGAGAGAUCCAAAAACCAAGAUCUAUCCCUCAACUACGAGGGGAGGUAAGGAACUGCCAUCUAGCUCUGCACUUGAUUCACCUUUUGUUAUGAGUAAGUUUGCGACACCUACACCUGCUUCUGCCAUUCGUUCUGACAUGUGGCAUGUUAUUGAUGAUGCCACUUCUGCUAUGCAUGAUACUUAUGAUGAAACUACCUCUAUGUCUGAUACUACUGUGCCACUUAGUGAUUUCCAUGAUGAACAAAUUGCUAGAGCUAGAGAAAUUGAAAAUAUUGAAUCUGAUGAUACUGAUGAAAGUGAUGAUGAAGAAUCACUUGUUAUUCCUAAGGGUUAUGUUUUUGAUCAAGAAGCUUCUUUCGCUAUCUUGGCUUGUGAAAAUAGAAAUGAACUAAAAGGUUAUUAACUAAAUGGAGUAAGCAAUCUCUAAGUGCUAGAAUGAAACCUGAUCCUGGUUUUGCUACUUCACCUAUCUGUGUUACUGAUAAGGAUUAUGAAUUCUCUGUUGAUCCUGAUAUAAUUACUUUAGUUGAAUCUGAUCAUUUUCAUGGUUAUGAAUCUGAAACAGUUGUGGCACAUCUUACUAAAUUGAAUGAUAUAGCUACCCUGUGUACUAAAGAUGAGAGAACUCGUUACUUUUAUAUCCUUAAAAUAUUUCCGUUCUCAUUAAAGGGUGAUGCUAAGAUAUGAUUUAAUUCUCUUGAUCCUGGUUGUGUGCGUAGUCCCUAGGAUAUGAUUUAUUACUUCUUUGCUAAGUAUUUCCCUGCUCAUAGGAAACAAGCUGAUUUAAGAUAUAUAUAUAUAUAUAUAUAUAUAUAUAUAUAUACAUAUAUAUAUAUAUAAUUUUGUGCAAAUUGAAGAAGAGAGUCUCCCACAAGCUUGGGAGAGGCUUCUCCAAUUACUUAAUGCUUUGCCUGAUCAUCCUCUUAAGAAAAAUGAAAUACUUGAUAUCUUUUAUAAUGGACUAACUGAUGCCUCCAGAGAUUACCUGGAUAGUUGUGCUGGUUCUGUUUUCAGGGAAAGAACACCGGAUGAAGCUGAAAUUCUAUUGAACAAUAUGUUAACAAAUGAAAAUAAUUGGACACCUCCGGAGCCAAUUCUUGAGCCUAUUCCUAAACCAACUCCGAAGAAGAGGGGUAUUCUAUUUCUCAGUCCUGAAAGAUAUGCAAGAGGCAAAGAAAUCUAUGAAAGAAAAGGGUAUUAAAGCUGAAGAUGUUAAGAAUUUACCUCCUAUUGAAGAAAAACAUGGUCUUAAUUUACCGCCUGUUGAAGAAACAUAUAAUCCAAAUCCUUCUCCUAUUGAAGAAACUCAUGAUCUUGAUAACCCGACACAGGUAGUAAAGGUAAAUUCUCUCUACAGAUAUGAUAAAGUUGAAAUCCCAUUUACUAAAUUUGCUAGCCCAUGCUUAGAUGAGUUUGAUAAAUUUAUGGCUAAGCAAGAAGAUUUUAAUGCUUAUUUUGGUAGACAAUUGAAAUACAAUUCAAAUAUGCUUGAACACUUGGGUGAUUAUAUGGCUAAUGUCAAAGGUGAACUUAAACUUAUUAGUAAACAUGCUUCUAUGGUUACCACUCAAGUAGAACAAGUACUUAAAGCUCAAAAUGAUUUGCUCAAUGAAUUGAAUAGUAAAGAUAAUGAUAAUGUUGUUAGAGUGGCUACUAGAACUGGUAGAAUGACUCAGGAAGCUUUGUAUCCUGAAGGCCACCCUAAGAGAAUUGAGCAAGAUUCUUAGAGAAAUAAUAUAGAUGUGUUGGAGAUAUGCCCUAGAGGCAAUCAUGUAUGAUGAUAUUUCCUAUGUGUUUAUGAAUAAAGAUAGUCCUUGGACAUUAUCAAUGAUGUGUAUCAGCAAGUACGUGACUUGUUUGUGGGACUAUGCAUUGUAUGAUGACUGUCCUAAAAGGUCCCUAGUCGAAAGGGCUGUGUGGACGCGCAGCCAACUAGACUAGCAUAUGACACGGUUGAUGGCUUGGUAUCACUAGCCAUGGAGCAUUGGAUGCUAACCGGAUAAUAUGGACUUGGAAGGAUCUGGUUGGAUUCGACGUAGUCGGAUCCGAGUCGAGAUAAGGUCCAAGUCGGACAGACCCAACUAUGAGACGCAGCGAUAUGUCAUCUGUGAGUCUCUAGUACAACUUAUGUUCUAUGUCCUAAGACCUGAGCUGACGCAUGUACUCAGGAUGGUGACAGACUUGCUUUGGUUCGACCAAACGCUACUCCGUAACUGGGUAGUUAUAAAGGUAGGUUUCGGGUUUGUCCAGAACCAUGCUGCGAGACGUGGUCGAGCAAGAUGGGAUUUGCCCCUCCGAUCAGGAGAGAUAUACUCUGGGCCCCUCGUGUGAUCCGACCAGGAUAAGCAUGGCCAUGCAACAAGGAUUAUGAGAUAAUCCGGUUUGUGGUCGGCAUCACUGGAACGAGAAAGAGGUCGGGCUAGCACAAGGAUGACAGACUCGCCUUGAGCUCGACAACAUAUAUCGUGUGGCAAAAGGAAUGGAAGUGUGAUGUACAGGUUCGCUAACCAGCUUCAUAGUCUGCUUGGUGUUCGGCAUGCCUUGCUAGAGGCCGCUACCAACCGUGCAGUUUGGAGGUGAUCCGAACUGCGACCAAGCCGACUUGAACCUAAGGGGUCACGCGCUUAAGGGAAGGAACCUACGAGGUCGGAUCAAAGGACACUGGUCGGAUGUGAUCCGAACUGUAUUCCGAUUGUGGCCGAGUAGACUUAUGGGCUUUAGGGUCCGUGCGAGGCCCAAGUGUUGAGCCCGUGACGAACGCCUAUAUAUAUAGUGGAGGUGCGGCACACUCAGUAGUUGAUCGCUUCGGCGCUGUCACUAGGGUUUGCAUGUGUUGCGAAUAGACACCUCCACUCGCUGCCGGUUGUGUGAUCGGACCUAGCAGUCCGCCGCACGAUGUUCCUCCUGCACGCGCGGAUACCGUUAGAGGCGGUGCACUUGCGCCCCCCGGCGAACCUGUACGUGGCAACCGACCACCGGCUCUGCGAGGGAGAUCGGACGAGGAGGAGACGAUCCACGCGGACGCUCUGCCCCAACUCUUCUUCCGCUGCACGGCACUGCGCGUCUAGUGGUAAUGAACUGUGAUCCAUCUCCCGUAGCACGUUCUUGGUUGUUAUGCGCGUAAGAAAUUUUAAUUUACAGUCGACGCGCCCUACCGUAGAUCCCAACAAGAUGCACCUAGUUCUUCUAAAAAGAAGAAAAAGAAAAAUGAUAGGACUUUGCAUGCUUCUAGUGAUCCUAUUGUUGAAACACCUGAGAAUCCAAAUGAUAUUUCUAUUUCUGAUGAUGAAACACAAUCUGGUAAUGAACCUGAAACUAGUGGUAAUAUUAAUGAUAAUGUUCAUGAUGAUGCUCAACCUAGUAAUGAUAAUGAUAUAGAAACUAAACCUGCUGUUGAUCUUGAUAACCCACAAUCAAAGAAUCAACGUUAUGAUAGGAAAGAUUUUGUUGCUAGGAAACAUGGUAAAGAAAGAGAGCCUUGGGUUUAGAAACCCAUGCCUUUUCCUCCCAAACCAUCCAAGAAAAAGGAUGAUGAGGAUUUUGAGCGCUUUGCUGAAAUGAUUAGACCUAUCUUUUUGCGUAUGCGAUUAACCGAUAUGCUCAAAACCAAUUCUUAUGCUAAGUACAUGAAAGAUAUUAUUACAAAUAAAAGAAAGAUACCGGAACCUAAAAUUUCCACCAUGCUUGCUAAUUAUACUUUUAAGGGUGGAAUACCAAAGAAACUUGGAGAUCCAGGAGUACCCACUAUACCAUGCUCCAUUAAAAGAAAUUAUGUUAAAACUGCUUUAUGUGAUCUUGGAGCCGGUGUUAGUGUUAUGCCUCUCUCUUUAUAUCGUAGACUUGACUUGAAUAAGUUGACACCUACUGAAAUAUCUUUGCAAAUGGCUGGUAAAUCAACUGCUAUACCUGUCGGUAUUUGUGAGGAUGUGCCUCUUGUAGUUGCAAACGUUACUAUUUUAACGGACUUUGUUAUUCUUGAUAUUCCCGAGGACGAUAGUAUGUCUAUUAUUCUUGGAAGACCCUUUUUGAAUACUGCAGGGGCUGUUAUUGAUUGCACUAAUGGCAAUGUCACUUUUCAUGUUAAUGGUAAUGAGCAUAUGGUACACUUUCCGAGGUAACAAUCUCAAGUUCAUAGUAUCAACUCCAUUGGAAAAAUUCCAUCGAUUAUAUUUGGAGGUUUUGAAUUUCCUCUUCCUACUGUCAAGAAGAAAUAUGAUAUUCUUAUUAUUGGGGAUGUGCAUAUCCCCGUUGAGGUAACAUAGUGUUAUUCAAAAUUUCUCCGGUUACAUGUUAUUCGGAAUGAGUUCGUUAACAAGACUUGAUCAACCUUGUUAGAGGAUUCCUUUUGAUAAUCAUGAGAUGGAUGAAACUAGAAGGCACAACCUUCUGUACCCUCCUUUUACUUUCUGUUAUUUAUAUUAGAUAAAAUGAAAAUAAAUAUUUUUCUGUCUGUUAUCUGAUUAUCCAUGCAAUAUAAAAAUACCUUAAAAAUAAAAGUUCUCCAAAUGCCCUGAAAUUUAAAUAUGAUUUUUUUCUAGAAUAUUUGAGAAUAUUUGGCACUGAGAACACAGCAGGGGGGCCAACCACGUGCCCAUGAGGGUGGAGGGCGCGCCCUACCCCCCUGGGCGUGCCCCUGCCUCGUGGGCCCACGGUGGCCCUCCUCCACUUAUCCUUUCAUCCACACACUUCAUCUUCAUCCCACAAACACGAAUAUCCAGCUCAAGCACGAGUUCUAGCUCAUUUUGCUGCCAUUUUCGAUCUCCUUGCUCAAAGCACCUCUCACAAAACUGCUUGGGGAGAUUGUUUCUUGAUAUGUGAUUCCUCCAUUGGUCCAACUAGUUUUUGAGUUAAUACCACUUCUAGUACAUAAACUUGUCCUGGUGGGAACAAGUUCAUACAAGAAUUAAAAAACCCCCCAUAAAAGUAGUACACAAACUUUUGCUAGCGGAACAUUUUAGUCCAUUUCCGUCUAUUCUGCCGGUGCACGGUCUCUGCUGUUAUAACGUUCGCUGAUAUGGAACCGGCUCCAUUUGUCAGUGUCGCACACAAAAGAAUAAAAUAGUACGCAGCCAGAUUCGAAACGAAGACCUCGCGCACUCAGUCUGCUUGUCAAAACUGCAACGCGCUAAACACUCUAACAAAAAACACUUGUUGUACAAAUUGGAGCUGCAACCUUUAUAAUCUUUUAUUCACGUACAGUUUACACUCAUAAUUUUUUCUUAAAUACGAAGAGCUGUAUUCUCCACUAAAGAUACGUUUAGUGCUCCAUUUGAGUAUGUAUGCUUCAAGUUUGAGCCAGGGUUUCUUGUACACGAGCCAAACCACGAUGCCGCUGUUCACUAGCUUCGAUAUAUGAACCACUGGCAUAUAUUCAACGACUGAGACCAAAUAACCGGGCCAACUAACAUAGCUAUAUUUUUGUGCUGGCAACAUUGAGCAGAUCCGUCAUCCCGCCGAUACAGUCACUAUCCCACAACACAACACUGUCCCCUUCACAGGAGGCGAGGCAGACCGGGGAUGAUGUCAGUGGGAGGCAGAGAAACCCUGGUUUUGGGGUGGCGGCCACUGUAGGGAAUCAUUUUCUCAUAAUUCACCAUCAGUAACCAUAAAUCAUUGGUUGUGUGGAUCAUUCGAUGUAGAGGCACAAUUGGGCCGCCUCUUCUUCCGGCGUGGCAUCGAAGUAGCAGGGAGGCGCGCUCACCCACUCACGGAUCUCGUCGGUCCACGAUUAGGUCUCCUCCGGCCAAGAGGGGGGGGGGAGGGGGUGACCGCUUGCAUGUGAGAGUUGGAUCGUGCUCCGGCUCCGGCUCGGCCUUGAGCUCGACGAUGGGCGGCGCCGACAGCGGUGGCGGCACGAACAAGGGUGCCUAGAUAGAGCCCCCCACCGCGGACAAAAGGGCUUGCUCCAUCCCAUCCCAAUGGUCGUCCUCCUUGAGUCGGCUCGUCUCCAGCGCGUGCUGCAAGGCCUCCUCGAGGGCGGCUUGGUACUCCGCCUCCUCUUCCUCCGGCUCUACCCUAAGGGGCGGCGGUGGAAACAGGGGGUUCAUGUGGACGCUUCGCCGUUGUUGCUCCUCGUGUUCGAGGGCAAAUCAGGCCUCCCAGUUGGGAGAGUCGGUGGCAUACUCGGGCAUUCGCCGCUGUGCUGGUGUGAGCUGCGCCUAGCGCCUGCGCACCUCCUCAUCGUGCGCUCGCUGUGACCGCGGAAUCACCGGCACCGGGAUCUGUUACAGAUCGAGGUGUCAGUGGCGUGACAGUGUCACGUCAGGGUAAGGCAACGACUGCCUAUAAUCCUAGCGCCACCAUGUUUGGUGCACCGGGAUGUGCAGACGCUGCCGACCUGAGUGGGAACGCGUCGGUGGUGGAGGAGGAGGGGGAGGAGGAGCACGGGAGGAUGAGGCGCCGGGGGUGCCCUUGCCCUUGUCGCUGCCGGAGCUGUUGCCGAAGAGGCCCAUUGCUAGGGUUUAGGUUGUCGCCGACGAGGAAGCACGAAGGGGGUGGUGGGGGCCAGAUGUGGACGGAAGUGGAUGAGGCCGCCCCCUUCCCCGCACACGUGGGUUAAGAAACAACGUUUUCACUGGCUGACUAGUGCACCCGGUGUCUGUGGUCGUCAUAAAUUAGAUGACGGGCGAUAGUUGCGUGGCCGCCAAGUGGGACCGCGACGGACACCGAGGGGACAUGCGGCGCGUCCGCUUUGCGUCCGUGCCGAUGCAUUUCAGGCACAAUUUUGGGCCGGAAAUGGGUUCAUGCAGACGCGAAGCGAACGGUUUUUCGAAAUGGGUCGGUGCGUUGGGCCGGUUUUUUUGUCUGCGACGACCCAAACAGACAUGGGUUGCCUCGUUGGAGUUGCUCUUAGGCCCACAAAAAAUAUUUUUAUUAAAUAGGAGUACGUAUUUCUUUUAGGUAUACCGAUCAGUGAUCGGUUGAAGUGUUCUCGUGCCGUGCGCGACCAAAGACUAUAAGAUGUGCAGCUCUGUUUGGAUUGACUCGCGCCUUAUGUUCGGGUGGUUAGCGCGCUGCUAGUUGCAAGCUAACUUGUGCGCGAGGUUUGCAGUUCGAAACCCCUCAGCUCGCUAUUUUGUUGUUUUGGUUUAUUCUUUCUUUGUGACACUGACAUACGGGCCCGGUUUCACGUCAUCAACUGUAGAAGCACGUUAUAACGGCAGGAGAUGAUGCACCGGCAGAAUAGACGGAAAUGGACUAAAAUGUUCUGUUAGCAAAGUUGUUGUACUACUUUUGUGGGGUUUUUUAGUUCUUGUAUGAACUUGUUCCCACCAGGACAAGUUUAUGUAUUAGAAGUGGUAUUAACUCUUAGUUUUUGUUCUAGUGCUUUAUUCAUUGCAAAUUUUUGCUGCUUAGGUGACCCUAUUCUUGAGCUUGCAUGUCAAAUUUAUAUGGUCAAAAGUAGUUUUGAUGCAUGAUAUAGGCCCUAGGCACUUGUAGGAGUAGUUGCUAUCAAUAUUAUUGAGUUUGGUUUACUUUUAUUUUGAAGUUACUAAAAAUUUCAGAAUUUUUCAGAAAAUGAUGAAGAGACUAUUGAGGGGCUCAUCGAGUCAAAGCUCGAAGGAAAAGGCACUGAAGUCUAAGUAUAAUUUGCCGUGCACCGCGGAGGUUCGGGCGUGUGAAUGGCCUUCCGAGGAUUUCUUGAGAGCAGCCGAUAUUUAUGAAGAUUUUCAUGAGUUGGCUAAGAAUGCAGGCCUCACCGCUUUCCUCCACGACCAAUGCGAUCAGUAUCUCUUACUCACAAAUACCUUUGUGCAAAACUUUCAUUUUCAUUCUAGGAAUUCGCCACCUACAGUGGAGUUUCAUUUAUAUGAUGAACAUAAGGAGAUGUCACUUUAUGAUUUUUGUCGGAUUUGUUUGGUCCCUUUUGAGGGCAAGACAUAAGAACCACAUCAUGAUGAUGUGGAGGGGUUUAUUGAUACUAUCACUGUAGGGGAAACUAGGAAGGUUUCCGAUGCACGAAUCACUAGCAUACAUUUUCCUAUUUUACGUUAGUUUGCAUUAUUUGCUAGUCGUUGCUUAAUUAGACGCGGAAACUGUGGAAACCUUAGUAUCCCUGAUAUCAUUAUUCUACUCCACGGUUUAUAUAGUGAUAACACUUUUAGUAUGGGCGGCAUUAUUGCUAAACGGUUAAGUCUGAAUCGUACCAAAGGCCCCAUCUUUGGAGGCAUCUAUGCUUCACGCCUAGCUGCACAUUUUAACAUACCUAUUAGGCAUUUUGAGAAGGAAGAAAAGGUGCUGCCUCGUGUUUAUCUAGAUUAUAAAAGUAUGGUGGCACAUGAUUUUAUUGUUAAGAAUAGGGAAGGAGAGCUUAAAUAUCAAUUGUUCUUUAAUAAACACCAUCAUGAGACUAUUGCCCUGCCUGCUCCUUCUUUGUUUGAUUUAUUUGUAGGCACGUACCUUGUACCGUUGAAGGCUAUUCACGCCUACCGGAACCCUGCACCAGCCGAGGAGCCAGAGUCGGAACCACAAGUUGAUCCUCCACGACAGUCUAAUUACCAGUGGGAUCCGGAGAUGAUUGUCAGCCAGUGGCAAUUGGAGUCUUCGUCUUCUUCAUCUCACUACGACCCGAACUACUAUUAUGGAUAUCCGCCAGGCCAGCCGUGGCCAUAGACCAACUUAGGCCAAAACCUAAGCUUGGGGGAGUACGUAUUUCCCACCGACAUUACAUUUAUGUUCACACACUCAUUGCUAUAUGUCGGUGCUCAUACUUUUUCAUUGUAUCAUCCAUGCUAGUUUACUUUCCUUUUUAUGCUUUCUUCUUGUGUGUUUAAUAAACCUUAAGAAAAACCCAAAAAAUUAGUUGUAGAUUUUAGUUAGUUUAAUUUCCAUGCUUGUAGUAGUAAUUAAAAAGAAAACCCAAAAAGAUUUCCUGUUCUUCUUUUGCUUGUUGGGAGCUUUCCUGUGUAAAUAGUUUUAUUUCUUUCCUUUUCUUUGGGGGUCGAUAGGAGAAGACCAUAAUUAAAUUGUUGAAGUGGCUCUUAUAUGCAUACUUGUUGAUUUGAUAAAAGAGCCCAUAUUGCCUUGUCUUUUCCUGUUUAUUGAAUGCUUGCAGAUUCCAUCUUAGUCCAAUGCACGUGCACUAUUAUUAUUAUUCACACUAUUCGGUCGUGCAAGUGAAAGGCAAUUAUGAUGUUAUAUGAUGGACUGGCUGAGAUGAGAAAAGCUAGUAUGAACUCGACCUCUUUUGUUUUUGUAAAUAUGAUUAGUUUAUCGUUCCUGAUUCAGCCUAUUAUAAAUAAACAUGUUUGCAAUGACAACUAGAGAUCAUAGUUUCUUAUGCCAUGCUUGAUUAGCUAUGAGUCAUAAUGGUUUACCUUGCGUGCCAACAUGCUAUUAAAAUGGUUAUGAUGUUGUAUGAUAGGGUGGUAUCCUCCUCUGAAUGAUUUAAGUGACUUGACUUGGCGCAUGUUCACGCAUGUAGUUGAAACAAAAUCAACAUAGCCUUCACGAUAUUUAUGUUCAUGGUGGAUUAUAUCCUACUCAUGCUUGCAUCCGGUGUUGAUUAAUUUUAAUGCAUGUUCAUGACUGUUGUCGCUCUCUAGCUGGUCGCUUCCCAGUCUUUUGCUAGCCUUCACCUGUACUAAGCGGGAAUAAUGUUUGUGCAUCCAAACUCCUUAAACCCCAAAGUUAUUCCACAUGAAUCCACUAUACUGUGACGUCCCGAGACCGUUGCGCCAGGUGUCUUCCAGUUAUUCGCUGUCAUUGCCAUGUCAUUUGCUUGCAUGUUGCAUUUCAUCAUGUCAUCAUGUGCAUUGCAUCAUCUGUUUUUGAUAUCUGCAUCCGUCUGGGUUCCCCCAGUUCCGUCCGUUGUCCGUUAUGAGCCCAACCACACUUGCACGCGCCCGCGGCACGUCCGAAAUAUUAUUUUAUAGGUGGCCGGAAAAUGUUCUCAGAAUGGGAUGAGAGUUGGCAUGCGGUGUUGUUAUAGUGUUCUGCCAAGUUUCAUCGCAUUCGGAGUUCAUUUGAUAGCCCAACCAUUACACUAUAGCGGCAGUAUAGCCGGUCUAUCGUCGGGCGUUUUCGGUCUCCGGAAACAGUCGCCGGACCUCUCCUCUUCUCUCUUCUCAGAACUUUGCCUUCUGCACUACCUCUCACCACCAGGCCCUAUCUAUCCUCUCUCGUCAGCCCGCGGACCUCCUCCUGCGCGCGUCCAAAAUCUGUCCCGGACCCGACCCGGACUGUCGCCAUCGUUGUGUCCGGAUCAUCCCCAAACAUCUACAAAACGUCACCGUUUUCUUAUUUGGACUCCCUACCUAUUCUUUAUUCUCUCGACCGUCCGAUUUCGAUCGGAGGGACCAAAUGGCCAUAUGCCUAGCCCACUGCUAUAUAUUCAGAUGAAACCCUAGGCCUAGCUAUCCCAUCCAUCAAAUCCUCCCCCGCCGCCGCCACUGUCAUUCUCCCACCUCGGGAUCCCCUUCGCACCAACCAGCCACCACCAAACUGCCAAAUCCAUCGCUCCACACAAACUAGAGCCCGCACCCAUGGUCCAAAUCCUCCCCGACCAGCCUCCUCAUUCCUCGGGAUCGAGCCUGAGGCAACGAGCGCUGCUCCUGAUUCCCUCGAUCUCGUGUCUCUCUCCAACACCCUCGCUCGAUCUGGACUAGGAGGGCCCCGAGCUCCUCGACCACCGCCUCGCGCGCCCGAUCCUCGAGCCGCCUCCUCUGCCUCGUUCCCGAAGCCGUUGGCGCUGAGCUCCCCCUUGCGCCGCCGUGCACCUCGCGCCCCGAGCACCUCGUCGCUGCUGCCCAAACAACCGCCGGCAACCAGCAGGUUACCAGCGCCGCGCCCCUGCCUCUAUUUUUCUUCUCCACUGAGGCCCUCUCUCUCUUUCCUCAACUCUCUCUCGUCUUUAGGGACCCCAUGACGCCGCCGCAGACCCGGCCAUGGAGCCAUGGAUACUGCCCUGCAGCUCUGUAGCCAAGACCGUGCGCCCUCUCCGUCCGGAGUUCCUGCUGCCGCCAUCGUUGUUCGACGCCAGCGCCUCGACUCUUCGAACCAUGGACGAACGCCUCACACCGAGUCCGCCGCCAUCGCCCCGUUCUUCUUCAAGCCGUGGUCGUGCUGCCGCAGAAGUGCCGCCAUGGAUGCUCGAACCUCCCUCUGCUUCCCGCGUGGGAUGACCCCAGUGCCGCGCCCCUGCUUUGCCUCGCCGGCAGCAAGCUCCGCCACGCCAAGUCCGCCGCCGUUCCCGAGUCUCCGGAUGCCAUGGACUUCCUCCACCGCUCAAUGCUGCCACGGGACACCGGCGCCCCCAACCUCCUCAUCGCCCGCACGCCAACAGGUCCCCUGCCUCGCCGCCCUAUGCUUGGAUCCGGCCGUCCCCGCGCCGUCACGACCCUGCAGAGACGUGCCCAAGACCCAUCUGCGUCGCCGUUCAAGUCCCAGCACUGCCUCGUUCUUCUUCCUGGAGCGAGAGUAGCCACCUGCAUCGUCUGAAGCCGCCCGCGUUCCCCUCUGUCUUCUUCCUGUCGAACAGAGGAACCGCUGCCUCGCUCGCCCGUGUUGACCCCGUCCCAGCGCGCUUCCAGUCCAGCAAGGCCCAACCGCUAGAUCCGGCCCAGCGUGGUGAGGGCACCCCGCGUCCCUCUUUUUUUCUCUUUCCCUCCUGUUGGGUCAGCCAUCCUGUUGUGUUUCGGCCCAGUGUGUUUUUUCCCUGCUGUGAUUUUGUCUUUUAUCUAGAGAUUUACCGGUUUUACAGAAAAGCCCUUCAAGUCCAUGCAUUUAAUAACUUUAUAACCAUGCAUCACAUGUAAAAACUUUAUAUAUGAAAGUUGCUUAGAAUCUUGUCUAGUUUCAUAAUAUGCCCCUUUCACCCAUGUUCGAAAUGUUUAAAAUGCUGUUUGAUUAAAUUUACUCCUAUGCCAUGCUAAAAUGCUUUAUUUCAUAACUAAAUAACCAUAACUCGGUUUGUAACAAACUUUAUAUGUAAAUGGGGUAGAAAAAUGCCUAGUUUAACAUGGUGGCCUCACUUUGCAUGUUUAACAACUAUAAAAUAUGGUUUAGGGCAGAACAGUACCAUAACCAAAAUAUGCACAUGAGGAGUUUCCAGACUUGUUGUUUGUCGUUCCGGCCUCAUUUAAACUUUCCUAGAUAGGUAGUUUUCAUUUGCUUCACCCUCUUGCCAUGUUUAACAACAUUUAAUAUUGUUGGGUACAUAAACGAGCUAAAUAACUUGAAUGUGGUGUUUCGUCAAUAUGCAACGGAGUUGCAUAUUGAGCUCCACUUAAUUUGUAGGAUUGCUUGUGCACUUUGCCAUGCCAUGCCCUCUUUAAAUCGGACAUGCAUCAUACUUGGUUGUGCAUCAUGCCAUGUUAUGUGGUGGUUGUUUACUAUGUUUGUUUGCUUCUUUCCGGUGUUGCUUCGUCGGGUUGGUUCCGAUAACGUCGUGUUGUGAGGAUUCGUUCGGCUACGUCCGUUUGUCUUCCUCAUGGACUCGUUCUUCUUCCUUGCGGGAUUUCAGGCAAGAUGACCAUACCCUCGAAAUCACUUCUAUCUUUGCUUGCUAGUUGCUCGCUCUUUUUGCUAUGCCUAUGCUGCGAUACCUACCACUUGCUUAUCAUGCCUCCCAUAUUGUUGAACCAAGCCCCUAACCCACCUUGUCCUAGCAAACCGUUGUUUGGCUAUGUUACCACUUUGCUCAGCCCCUCUUAUAGCGUUGUUAGUUGCAGGUGAAGAUUGAAGUUUGUUCCUUGUUGGAACAUGGAGAUGUUGUUCCUUGUUGGAACAUGUUUACUUGUUGGGAUAUCACAAUAUCUCUUAACUAAUUAAUGCAUCUAUAUACUUGGUAAAGGGUGGAAGGCUCGGCCUUAUGCCUGGUGUUUUGUUCCACUCUUGCCGCCCUAGUUUCCGUCAUAUCGGUGUUAUGUUCCCAGAUUUUGCGUUCCUUACGCGGCUGGGUUAUAAUGGGAACCCCUUGACAGUUCGCCUUGAAUAAAACUCCUCCAGCAAUGCCCAACCUUGGUUUUACCAUUUGCCACCUAGCCUUUUCUUUCCCUUGGGUUCUGCAGACUCAAGGGUCAUCUUUAUUUUAACCCCCCCGGGCCAGUGCUCCUCUGAGUGUUGGUCCGAAAUGGGCAGCCUGCGGGGCCACCUCGGGGCAACUCGAGGGUUGGUUUUAAUCGUAGCUUGACCUAUCUGAGUGUGCCCUAAGAACAAGAUAUGUGCAGCUCCUAUCGGGAUUUGUCGGCACAUUCGGGCGGUGUUGCUGGACUUGUUUUACCAUUGUCAAGGAUGUCUUGUAACCGGGAUUCUGAGCCUGAUCGGGUCUUCCCGCUAGAAGGAAUAUCCUUCGUUGACCGUGAGAGCUUGUGAUGGGCUAAGUUGGGACUCCCAUGCAGGGAUUUGAACUUUCGAAAGCCGUGCCCGCGUUUAUGGGAAGAUGGGAAUUUGUUAAUGUCCGGUUGUAGAAAACCUGAAGUUGACCUUAAUUAAAAUACGUCAACCGCGUGUGUAACCGUGAUGGUCUCUUUUUGGCGGAGUCCGGGAAGUGAACACGGUGUUGGAGUUAUGUUUGACGUAGGUUGUUUUAGGAUCACUUCUUGAUCAUAGUUGUUCGACCGUGCUUUUGCCUUCUCUUCUCGCUCUCUUUUGCGUAUGUUAGCCACUAUAUAUGCUAGUCGCUUGCUGCAGCUCCACCUCAUACCUUUUACCCUUCCUAUAAGCUUAAAUAGUCUUGAUCGCGAGGGUGUGAGAUUGCUGAGUCCAUGUGACUCACAGAUACUUCCAAAACCAGCUUGCAGGUGCCGUUGAACUGUGCAGAUGACGCAACCAAGCUCAAGGAGGAGCUCGAUGAAGAUCUUGUCCUUUUGUGUUGUUUCGUUCUAGUUGAUCAGUAGUGGAGCCUAGUUGGGGUCGAUCGGGGAUCUGUGUAGCAUUUGGGGUAGUCUUCUUUUUAUUUUGGUUCCGUAGUCGGACCUUGUGUGUAUCUGGAUGAUGUAAUGCUUUAUUCUUGUAUUUGUGUGAAGUGGAGAUUGUAAGCCAACUAUGUAUCUUUUCCCUUAUGUAUUACAUGAGUUGUGUGGAGAUUACCUCACUUGCGACAUUGCUUUCAAUGCGGUUAUGCCUCUAAGUCAUGCUUUGACACGUGGGAGAUAUAGCCGCAUUGAGGGCAUGACAAGUUGGUAUCAGAGCCUUCCCCGACCUUAGGAGCCCCCUACUUGAUCGAAUCACUGGCGUUAUUGAGUCUAGAAAUGUUUUGAGUCAUUUAGGAAUUAUAUAUAUCGGAGAGUUAGGACUUCUUUUUACUCCUCAGUCCCUUCGUCGCUCUGGUGAGGCAUCCUGACGUAGAGUUUUGACUCUUCUCUUCUCAAAUUUCACUAAAAAAAUUUAGGAUCACGCGGGUAUCUUGGAAUCGUUCUGAUGGUUUUGUGACGAGAACAUUGUUCUUGGUGCCUCCUGUCAUUUAGGGGUUGUGGCAGUGUCCCGAGGAGUUGAGCUCCAAGGUGUUGUCGUCACAAUUUUAUCGUUGCAGUUCUGGAAUACCUGAGUUUAGGUUCGCCGACAUCGAAAAUCUCUUUUAUGCAGUUGUUGGUGAGAUAACCUCGACGCCACCUAGUACUGGGGCGGGAGUUCGGGAGUAUCGCCAUAACUCGUAUAACAGAUGCUUUCCGAAGGUUGAGGUAGACGAUUUCCGAAGGUUUCUUGGUUAUGUGUUGAAGGAUGGAUACAGCUGGAUGUAGGAUUUGCUAGUUUUGGGUGAGAUAUUAUGCUUCCCCUGUAUCCCCAACACCUGAUUGCAUAACCGGAAAAUUUCGGGAGUUUAUAAGUGGGAAUUCAAGUAGCUCUUAGGAUAUCUUUUCGACAGAUGUAUGAUACGAAAUUGGGGUUCGACGUCUAGUGGUCCGCCUAUUCACGGUUGGUUUUACAGUGGUCUCGUUGUGUCUUAAAGAGUCCUUGGCUAUGCUGACUCGGGGACGCUUCGUAUGUCAUGUGCACUGCCUUGUACAUGAUGGUGCUGUACGAUCGAGCCCGUGUAGGCCCCACCACAAAAACUUCGGACGAAAUCUCUAUCAUAUGUUUGUUCCGGCUUAUUUUGCAAGAUAAUCCUUGUUUUGUUUUGAGUUGUGGUAUCCGAGUUGCUUCGAAGUCAAAUGUUGAUUCCAUACCUUUCCUAAGUGGUGUUCUCAUAUUUCUAUGUAAAUACUAAUCCUUUUCGAUAAUCGAGAUCAUCAUGCCAAUCCUUUUCAACCGGCGUGUUUCUCUUCAAGUGGAUCCAAUCAUUUCAACAUCCGCAAGAUCAACUCAAGUCUUCUCAACGGUGUUUGUUUCAUUCGUCUCCAAGUUGCCUUUGUUUUCCCGCCCACCCUCCCCUUUUUUUCUUCAAGGAUUAUUAAUUCUUAAAAACUAUCCAUCUUAUUCAUGUGAAGCCUCUUCUUUUUUUCAAUCAAUGUUCUUACCCGGUGAUGCUCAUGAAGAUUUUAAUGGAGUUUCUAGUUCACCAUUAUUCAUUCUUUUUCUUCUCCGGUGGAACCAAGUCAAGCUUUGUGGAUCAUAUCCUUUUUCCUCGUUUCAAAUACCUUUUAUUACCGGUGCACCUCUUUAUCAUUCACCUCUCGCUAUUCAUUUGUUCCGGAGUGCUCAAGAUAUCUCGAAGAUUCGUGUUUCCACUCUGCAUUCGUUCAAGAUCUUUCGAGGAUGUUACCUCAUUCAAGCCAUUUAUUUCAACCAGCGCAAUCUAUCUUCUAAAUCAUUCAACGGUGUUUUUUUUGAGUGGGCCCUAACCCACAGGUCUUUUCCCAGGAUCUUACCUAACUCUUCUUAUUUUUUUUCCUGGAGCUAUCCUCAAUUUCUUUUCUAAAGUUUGACAUAAGAAUGAAUUGUCAUCAGUCAUAUGUAUUUUCGUCAAGAUCUUUCAAAUUCUUUUCAUCAAUGGCUCAACCUUUUCUAUUCUUCAUUCCGGAGUGUCUAAACAAUUCUUGGUGGUGUUUCCCGUCGUCAUUCUCAGUUUUUGAAGACCGAAGAGGAGUUUCUUUUAAAUAUUGCCUCAUUCUCUGCCAUCCUCUCAUAAUUGUUUUCGGUUGUGUGAUUUUUUCACCCAUCCGGAGCAAUUCAAGAUUCUGUUCAAUUCGAUUCAUCCGGAGCCCAUCAUUUCAGAAGACUUAUUCAUUCUCAGCUUUCAGCUCUCGUUCUCCAAAUCUUACCGGUGCAUCGUUCAAACAUUCUCUUAUCAGCUAGUGAUCUUUUCGUUUUCAUGUAUCUACAUUGUCUCAAGUAUCUUCGUUCAUUUCACAAUUCUUACCCGGUGAUUAAUCCCUUUACUUUGUUCAAUUUUUUUACAAUUCAUACGGCGGUUCGUUCAAGAGCUCUAUUCGUGGGUUAUCAUAUCAAUUUAUUUGUUGUUUCAACCCUUCCGGUGGUUCGUUGAAGACCUUCUCAAGUUUUGCGCUAUAUCUCUCUUAAUCCUUGCUAUGAGAAUAAGUUGUGUGCCAAACCCAUUUGUUUGUCAUCAAUCUAAUUGGUGAAGGUUAAGCAUAAUAUAAUUCUUAUUCCUGUUUCAUCCAUAUGUUAAUCUUUUCUUCCAGAGUUUGUUCACGAUGAUUAAAUUCUUGGUUUCAAGUGCUCGUCUUUCUUUACCGGAGUUCCAAGCUCUUUCAAUUAUAUCGUUUCAAAGAUCCAUCUAAUCAUUGCAAGAAUUCACCUUGUGUUUCCAACUUCUCUCUCCUUUCGUUUGAUCAUCCCUUUGCUUACCGGAGUUCUUCACGGAGGUUAUACAUGAUGGUUCUUCAAGGAUUUAAUUCCUUCUUGAAGUAUUCAUCAAGAUUCUUUUCAGAGGAGUUCAAGCAUUCUUCUUCUUGCUAUCCGGAGUGCAAGUCUUUCUUCCAUAUCAUUGGAGGUGGUUUUAUGUCAUUCUUGAUUAUUUGAGUUUGUGUUUCAUGUUUCCCAUGUUGUCAAGAAUGAGGUAUCUUAAAUCCAUCAAUCUCUUUGUUGGAGUUAUCUUGUGUCAUGUUUCACCUAAAGCCUUCCCUAAGGAUUGUUGCUACCUAUGGCGCUUAAAAUGACCAAAGUUCUUCAUUUAUCCUCCCGGUGAAAUAAGUUUCUCGUCUCCUUGUUCUUAUCAAUCCAAUUCUUUUUCCCGUGAGUGGCAGGUUGUCACCUCAUAAUUUGAGACGUAUUCCAUAAGACCAUAUCAAGCUUAUUCUUUUCGUUGUUGGUUUUCCAACAACUCCGUUCUAGCAUUUGUUGUAAGCGUGCUCUCUCAAGACCUUGUUUCCCUUCGUUCACUCCAUUCCAUUCUUACUUUUGUUCCGGAGGCAUUGUGAUGUUCAUCUUUUCAACCCAUAAUCUCGUUUUGUCAAAGAUCAUGUUCUUUUAAUGCCUAUCCAUUUAACCAGAGUGUUGUGCCCUUUUGCUCAAGUUCUUUUUGCUUUAUCACACCUUGUACAUAUUGUUUUAACCGGAGUGCUUGCAUGUACUUCUUGUCCUUUGCAACCUUUCUCUUGUGCCUUUUAACCUACAGGGCUCUCGUGAUGUUCCUUGUUCCUCUUUUCUUAACGGAGUGCUUUGAACUUCGUUCAUCCCUGUUGUAUUCUUUUCUCGAGAUGGCUUAACCUUUUCAAGGUUCUUUGGUUUCACUCGCUUGUCAAAGAAGCAACUUAGUUUUACAUCUUCUCUUUCUCUUCUGUUUUCCCUCCGGUGCCAUUCUAGAUCUCGGGACGAGUCCUCUCGUAGUGGUGGAGUGUUGUGACGCCCCGAGACCGUUGCGCCAGGUGUCUUCCAGUUAUUCGUUGUCAUUGCCAUGUCAUUUGCUUGCGUGUUGCAUUUCAUCAUGUCAUCAUGUGCAUUGCAUCAUCUGUUUUUGAUACCUGCAUCCGUCCGGGUUCCCCCAGUUCCGUCCGUUAUCCGUUCUGAGCCCAACCACACUUGCACGCGCCCGCGGCACGUCUGAAAUAUUAUUUUGUAGGUGGCCGGAAAAUGUUCUCAUAAUGGGAUGAGAGUUGGCAUGCGGUGUUCUUAUAGUGUUAAUAGGUCGCCUGCCAAGUUUCAUCGCAUUCGGAGUUCAUUUGAUAGCCCAACCGUUACACUAUAGCGGCAGUAUAGCCGGUCUAUCGUCGGGCGUUUUCGGUCUACGGAAACAGUCGCCAGGCCUCUCCUCUUCUCUCUUCUCAGACCUUUGCCUUCUGCACUACCUCUCACCGCCAGGCCCUACCUAACCUCUCUCGUCAGCCCGCGGACCUCCUCCCGCGCGCAUCUGAAAUCUGUCCCGGACCCGACCCGGACUGUCGCCAUCGUUGUGUCCGGAUCAUCCCCAAACAUCUAGAAAACGUCACCAUUUUAUUAUUUGGACUCCCUACCUAUUCUCUAUUCUCUUGACCGUCCGAUUUCGAUCGGAGGGACCAAAUGACCAUAUGCCUAGCCCACUGCUAUAUAUUCAGAUGAAACCCUAGGCCUAGCUGUCCCAUCCAUCAAAUCCUCCUCCGCCGCCGCCACUGUCAUUCUCCCACCUCGGGAUCCCCUUCGCACCAACCAGCCACCACCAAAACUUCCAAAUCCAUCGCUCCUCACAAACUAGAGCCCGCACCCAUGGUCCAAAUCCUCCCCGACCAGCCUCCUCAUUCCUCGGGAUCGAGCCCGAGGCAACGAGCGCUGCUCCUGAUUCCCUCGAUCUCGUGUCUCUCUCCAACACCCUCGCUCGAUCUGGACUAGGAGGGCCCCGAGCUCCUCGACCACCGCCUCGCACGCCCGAUCCUCGAGCCGCCUCCUCUGCCUCGUUCCCGAAGCCGUUGGCACCGAGCUCCCCCUUGCGCCGCCGUGCACCUCGCGUCCUGAGCACCUCGUCGAUGCUGCCCAAACAACCGCCGGCGACCAGCAGGUUACCAGUGUCGCGCCCCUGCCUCUCUUUUUCUUCUCCAUUGUGGCCCUCUCUCUCUCUUUCCCUCACCUCUCUCUCGUCUUCAGGGACCCCAUGACGCCGCCGUAGACCCGGCCAUGGAGCCAUGGAUACCGCCCUCUGCAGCUCUGUAGCCAAGACCGUGCGCCCUCGCCGUCCGGAGUUCCGGCUGCCGCCGUCGUCGUUCGAGGCCAGCGCCUCGCCUCUUCGAACCAGGGACGAACGCCUCGCACCGAGUCCGCCGCCAUCGCCCCGUUCUUCUUCAAGCCGUGGUCGUGCUGCCGCAGAAGUGCCGCCAUGGAUGCUCGAACCUCCCUCUGCUUCCCGCGUGGGACGACCCCAGUCCCGCGCCCCUGCUUUGCCUCGCCGGCAGCAAGCUCCGCCACGCCAAGUCCGCCGCCGUUCCCGAGUCUCCGGAUGCCAUGGACUUCCUCCACCGCUCAUCGCUGCCACGGGACACCGGCGCCCCCAACCUCCUCACCGCCCGCACGCCAACAGGUCCCCUGCCUCGCCGCCCUAUGCUUGGAUCCGGCCGUCCCCGCGCCGUCACGGCCCUGCAGAGACGUGCCCAAGACCCAUCUGCGUCGCCGUUCAAGUCCCAGCACUGCCUCGUUCUUCUUCCUGGAGCGAGAGUAGCCACCUGCAUCGUCUGAAGCCGCCCGCGUUCCCCUCUGUCUUCUUCCUGUCGAACAGAGGAACCGCUGCCUCGCUCGCCCGUGUUGACCCCGUCCCAGCGCGCUUCCAGUCCAGCAAGGCCCAACCGCUAGAUCCGGCCCAGCGUGGUGAGGGCACCCCGCGCCCCUUUUUUAUCUUUCCCUCCUGUUGGGUCAGCCAUCCUAUUGUGUUUCGUCCCAGUGUGUUUUUUUCCCUGCUGUGAUUUUGUCUUUUAUCUAGAGAUUUACCGGUUUUACAGAAAAGCCCUUCAAGUCCAUGCAUUUAAUAACUUUAUAACCAUGCAUCACAUGUAAAAACUUUAUAUAUGAAAGUUGCUCAGAAUCUUGUCUAGUUUCAUAAUAUGCCCCCUUCACCUAUGUUAGAAAUGUUUAAAAUGCUGUUUGAUUAAAUUUACUCCUAUGCCAUGCUAAAAUGCUUUAUUUCAUAACUAAAUAACCGUAACUCGGUUUGUAACAAACUUUAUAUGUAAAUGGGGUAGAAAAAUGCCUAGUUUAACAUGGUGGCCUCACUUUGCAUGUUUAACAACUAUAAAAUAUGGUUUAGGGCAGAACAGUACCAUAACCAAAAUAUGCACAUGAGGAGUUUCCGGACUUGUUGUUUGUCGUUCCGGCCUCAUUUAAACUUGCCUAGACAGGUAGUUUUCAUUUGCUUCACCCUCUUGCCAUGUUUAACAACAUUUAAUAUUGUUGGGUACAUAAACGAGAUCGAGCUAAAUAACUUGAACGUGGUGUUUCGUCAAUAUGCAACGGAGUUGCAUAUUGAGCUCCACUUAAUUUGUAGGAUUGCUUGUGCACUUUGCCAUGCCAUGCCCUCUUUAAACCGGACAUGCAUCAUACUUGGUUGUGCAUCAUGCCAUGUUAUGUGGUGGUUGUUUACUAUGUUUGUUUGCUUCUUUCUGGUGUUUCUUCGCUGGAUUGGUUCUGAUAACGUCGUGUUGUGAGGAUUGGUUCGGCUACGUCCGUUUGUCUUCCUCAUGGACUCGUUCUUCUUCCUUGCGGGAUUUCAGGCAAGAUGACCAUACCCUCGAAAUCACUUCUAUCUUUGCUUGCUAGUUGCUUGCUCUUUUUGCUAUGCCUAUGCUGCGAUACCUACCACUUGCUUAUCAUGCCUCCCAUAUUGUUGAACCAAGCCUCUAACCCACCUUGUCCUAGCAAACCGUUGUUUGGCUAUGUUACCGCUUUGCUCAGCCCCUCUUAUAGCGUUGUUAGUUGCAGGUGAAGAUUGAAGUUUGUUCCUUGUUGGAACAUGGAGAUGUUGUUCCUUGUUGGAACAUGUUUACUUGUUGGGAUAUCACAAUAUCUCUUAACUAAUUAAUGCAUCUAUAUACUUGGUAAAGGGUGGAAGGCUCGGCCUUAUGCCUGGUGUUUUGUUCCACUAUUGCCGCCCUAGUUUCCGUCAUAUCGGUGUUAUGUUCCCGGAUUUUGCGUUCCUUACGCGGUUGGGUUAUAAUGGGAACCCCUUGACAGUUUGCCUUGAAUAAAACUCCUCCAGCAAUGCCCAACCUUGGUUUUACCAUUUGCCACCUAGCCUUUUCUUUCCCUUGGGUUCUGCAGACUCAAGGGUCAUCUUUAUUUUACCCCCCGGGCCAGUGCUCCUCUGAGUGUUGGUUCGAAAUGGGCAGCCUGCGGGGCCACCUCGGGGCAACUCGAGGGUUGGUUUUACUCAUAGCUUGACCUAUCUGAGUGUGCCCUGAGAACGAGAUAUGUGCAGCUCCUAUCAGGAUUUGUCGGCACAUUCGGGCGGUGUUGCUGGACUUGUUUUACCAUUGUCGAGGAUGUCUUGUAACCAGGAUUCCGAGACUGAUCGGGUCUUCCCGCUAGAAGGAAUAUCCUUCAUUAACCGUGAGAGCUUGUGAUGGGUUAAGUUGGGACUCCCCUGCAGGGAUUUGAACUUUCAAAAGCCGUGCCCGCAGUUAUGGGCAGAUGGGAAUUUGUUAAUGUCCGGUUGUAGAAAACCUGAAGUUGACCUUAAUUAAAAUACAUCAACCGCGUGUGUAACCGUGAUGGUCUCUUUCCGGUGGAGUCUGGGAAGUGAACACGGUGUUGGAGUUAUGUUUGACGUAGGUUGUUUUAGGAUGAGUAAAAUGCAUCAUAAGUCCUAAAACUAUCGGAGGUGUGUCAGUUUAGUCCUAUAACUUUGAAACUGCACUUUUGGGUCCUAAAACUAUCAGAGAUGUGUCAGUUUAGUCCUAUAACUUCGAAACUGCACUUUUGGGUCCUAAAACUAUCAAAGGUGUGUCAGUUUAGUCCUAUAACUUUGAAACAGUAGUUGUGGGUUCCAAAACUAUGUAAGUUUCUUCCUCUUAGGUCCUAAGCUUGCAUGGUUAGGAUUGACCCACCAACGAGUCACUUGGAAAUGCUUGGAUUGUAGCCACGUUGACCUGACCCAAUGGGCCCACCAGGUAAAUAUGCAAAAAAAACUAGAGCGUUGUCUCGCCUCAUUAUCACGCGCUCGUCUUCUCCCACGCACAGAAUGCUCAGAGGCGACGGUACAGAGGCCAUCAGUGGAAUGAUGGUUUGAGCUCCAGCGAGGAGAGUAGACCGGUCAUCUCAGCCUCCCCCAACAGCAGCAGAACGACAUGCCGCACAACGUCCAAUUGCUACCCACCUAUGGCUACUGCUAGGGUUGUGUCACUCUCGACGACCUCUGCGCCUGCUUUGCAGUUUCUACGCACUCCUCUGUGUCGCCCGACAGCUCACCACCUAUGACCAUGCUCGUGCCCAAACAACAGCCUGCACGGCCAACUCUACGGCAAGGGUGUCGGGGCAACGACGAUAUCAUCAAACAGAGAGAGAGAGAGAGAGAGAGAGAGAGAGAGAGAGGUGGGAUGGCGUACUCCAUCCCAAUUGGCUCGGGAUCUCCCCGGCGGCCUCGCCGAGGGAGAGGAAUGUCGUCCUUCAUGCCGACUAGCUCGGGGUCUCCCCGAUGGUCAUGCCAAACCUCUCAGGGAGGCUACCGUGCAGGUGGUGGGCAUGCAGGUUGCAGGACACACUGCAACGUGGAAGCGUAUGUACCACUUUGGGGGAUAUAAACACAUACAAAGGGCUCAUUUGAAAAAAUGCACCAUGGAUGGUGGCCAUGCAAGAUUAGGACCUCAGAUGAACAAACAUACAUAGUUUUGAGACCCAAAACUGCAAUUUUGAGGUUAUGAGACUAAAAAUGACACACCUCCAAUAGUUUUAGGACCCAAAAGUGCAGUUUCGAAGUUAUAGGACUAAACUGACAUACUUCCGAUAGUUUUAGGACCCAAAAGUGCAGUUUGAAAUUUAUAGGACUAAACUGACACACCUAUGAUAGUUUAAGGACUUGUGAUGCAUUUUACUCUUUUAGGAUCACUACUUGAUCAUAGUUGUUCGAUCGUGCUUUUGCCUUCUCUUCUCGCUCUCUUUUGCGUAUGUUAGCCACUAUAUAUGCUAGUCGCUUGCUGCAGGUCCACCUCAUACCUUUUACCCUUCCUAUAAGCUUAAAUAGUCUUGAUCGCGAGGGUGUGAGAUUGCUGAGUCCCUGUGACUCACAGAUACUUCCAAAACCAGCUUGCAGGUGCCGUUGAACCAUGCAGAUGACGCAACCAAGCUCAAGGAGGAGCUCGAUGAAGAUCUUGUCCUUUUGUGUUGUUUCGUUCUAGUUGAUCAGUAGUGGAGCCCAGUUGGGGUCGAUCGGGGAUCUGUGUAGCAUUUGGGGUAGUCUUCUUUUUAUUUUGGUUCCGUAGUCAGACCUUGUGUGUAUCUGGAUGAUGUAAUGCUUUAUUCUUGUAUUUGUGUGAAGUGGCGAUUGUAAGCCAACUAUGUAUCUUUUCCCUUAUGUAUUACAUGGGUUGUGUGAAGAUUACCUCACUUGCGACAUUGCUUUCAAUGCGGUUAUGCCUCUAAGUCGUGCUUCGACAUGUGGGACCUAUAGCCGCAUCGAGGGAGUGACAUAUACCUACCUAUAUACGGUAUCUACCUGCCGUUCCAAGUAAAUUUGUAUGUGCCAAACUCUAAACCUUCAAAUAAAUAUCCUGUUUUGUAUACUCGAAUAGCUCAUGUAUCAACUAGGGUUGUCUAUAUCUUCCAUGUUAGGCGGGUUAUUCUCAAGAGGAGUGGACUCCGCUCCUCACUCACGAGAUAAAUGGCUGGUCACCGGGAUGCCCAGUCCCAUGCUUUAUGCAAACUAAAUCAAAAUAAUUGCAAACAAAACUCCCCCUGGGACUCUUGUUAGUUGGAGGCACUCGUUGUUUCGAGCAAGCCAUGGAUUGAUGCUUGUUGGUGGAAGGGGGAGUAUAAACUUUACCAUUCUGUUUGGGAACUGCCUAUAAUGUGUGUAGCAUGGAAGAUAUCGCCAUCUCUUGGUUGUUAUGUUGACAAUGAAAGUAUACCGCUCAAAAUAUUGUUCACCUCUAUUUCAAAACCGAGCUCUGGCACCUCUACAAAUCCCUGCAUCCCUCUGCGAAGGGCCUAUCUAUUUACUUUUAUGUUGAGUCAUCAUCCUCUUAUUAAAAAGCACGAGUUAGAGAACACCACUGUCAUUUGUAUUCGUUACUGUUAGUUUACAUUGAGUAUGACUUGACUGGAUCUCUUUUACAAUGAAUUACAAUGUCUAGUCAGUCCUUGGUCUUUAAAGGUGCUCUGCAUUUAUGUUCGCGGUCUCAGAAAGGGCUAGCGAGAUACCAUCUUGUUAUAUCAUAUUAUGAUUGUUUUGAGAAAGUGUUGUCAUCCGAGAUUUAUUAUUAUGGCUCGCUAGUUGAUUAUGCUAUUGAUAUGAGUAAACUUGAGACCUAUGCGUUAUUGCGAAUGUGGUUAGUUAUAAUCUUUGCUGAAAACUUGAAUGCUGACUUUACAUAUUUACAACAACAAGAGCAAAUAGAGUUUGUAAAAGUUUUUCUUUAUCACUUCAGUUUGUCAACUGAAUUGCUUGAGGACAAGCAAAGGUUUAAGCUUGGGGGAGUUGAUACGUCUCCAACGUAUCUACUUUUCCAAACACUUCUGCCCUUGUUUUGGACUGUAACUUGCAUGAUUUGAAUGGAACUAACCCGGACUGAUGCUGUUUUCAGCAGAAUUACCAUGGUGUUAUUUAUGUGCAGGAGCAAACGUUCUCGGAAUGACUUGAAACUUCACGGAGCCACUUUUCAGAAAAUAAGAAAAAUACCAGCAAAAGAUGAAGGCCAGGGGCCCACCACCUUGCCACGAGGGUGGGGGGCGCCUGCCCUCCUAGGGCGCGCCCCCUACCUCGUGGGCCCCCUGCUGCGUCUCCGACUCCAACUCCAUAUAUUGAGUUUCGGGGAGAAAAAAUCAGAGAGAAGAAAUCAUCACGUUUUACGAUACGGAGCCACCGCCAAGCCCUAAAACCUCCCGGGAGGGCUGAUCUGGAGUCCGUCAGGGGCUCUGGAGAGGGGAAUCCGUCGCCAUCGUCAUCAUCAAUCAUCCUCCAUCACCAAUUUCAUGAUGCUCACCGCCGCGCGUGAGUAAUUCCAUCGCAGGCUUGCUGGACGGUGAUGGGUUGGAUGGGAUCUAUCAUGUAAUCGAGUUAGUUUUGUUAGGGUUUGAUCCCUAGUAUCCACUAUGUUCUGAGAUUGAUGUUGCUAUGACUUUGCUAUGCUUAAUGCUUGUCAGUAGGGCCCGAGUGCCAUGAUUUCAGAUCUGAACCUAUUAUGUUUUCAUCAAUAUAUGAGUGUUCUUGAUCCUAUCUUGCAAGUCUAUAGUCACCUAUUAUGUGUUAUGAUCCGUUAACCCCGAAGUGACAAUAAUCGGGAUACUUACCGGUGAUGACCGUAGUUUGAGGAGUUCAUGUAUUCACUAUGUGUUAAUGCUUUUUUCGGUACUCUAUUAAAAGGAGGCCUUAAUAUCCCUUAGUUUCCGUAAGGACCCUGCUGCCACGGGAGGGUAGGACAAAAGAUGUCAUGCAACUUCUUUUCCGUAAGCACGUAUGACUAUAUUCGGAAUACAUGCCUACAUUAUAUCAAUGAACUAGAGUUAGUUCUGUGACACCCUAGGUUAUGACUGUUACAUGAUGAACCGCAUCCGGCAUAAUUCUCCAUCACUGAUCCAUUGCCUACGAGCUUUCCAUAUAUUGUUCUUCGCUUAUUUACUUUCCCGUUGCUAUUGCUAUCAUCACUACAAAAUACCAAAAACAUUACUUUUACUACUGUUGCCUUUUGCUACCGUUACCACUACUAUCAUAUUACUUUGCUACUGAACACUUUGCUGCAGAUAUUAAGUUUCCACGUGUGGUUGAAUUGACAACUCAGCUGCUAAUACUUGAGAAUAUUCUUUGGCUCCCCUUGUGUCGAAUCAACAAAUUUGGGUUGAGUACUCUACCCUUGAAAACUGUUGCGAUCCCCUAUACUUGUGGGUUAUCACUAAACCAAUCUCCUGAGGUUACUGACGAUGCCGGAAGCACGGUCAGCCUAACCACGAUGGUCUAUUCCUGCAAGCAAUCGAAGGACGAGCAAGAAUAUGAUAAAGUAAUCUGAAUAUUGCGAAUAUAUAUGAAGUAUUGAUAAUGGUGGGCAUCCGUAAGCGGUCUUGGUCUGGUCGUUGGACACAAACGAAGUGCACGAAGUUGCAAUGGCUAACUUUUAACUAAACAAAUCCCAAGGAAAAAAAGCUACUAGAUGGAUCUACUUAUAUAGGAGCAAGGGGUGGCGGCCAAGGAGGUGGGAGGACGUCCCAAGGCAGCCUAAAACUAACCCUAGGUCGUACAAGGCUCAUGGGCCCAAGUGGAGGUGAUGCAACACCUUUGAGCUUGUAGUUUGACUCGGAUUCUGUUGCAACGUCAGAUAGUUUCGUCCAUAACUCAACGCUCCAGACGAAUUUGAAGGUGAAUCCAAUUGUGUUGAAAAGAGCACGAAAUCUACUUUCAAAUAAAAAAAGAAUCACCCAAUUCGGAGUCCGUAUGAAAAAGUUGUUGGCGUUUUGAGUCAGGUAUGUCUGUGAAGUCCGAAUCUGAAUCCAGAACGUGAGAGACUUGGACUCUAUCUUCUCUUAGCCCAAAAGUGACAUGAGAGAACUUUUUUAAUAGCACAUAAACUUAGCUUUUUCCCUUAUCUUCAUAUGUGGAUUGUACAAAUGUCCCAUACACCUGCAAUUAGACAUGGCACAAAAGUUUGUGAAGUAUUUUUGUCCUGGAUGACAUAAAUAAAUUAUUGCAUAGUUUGCAUUAGAAAUCAGCUCACAAAAUACAUGUAUGCAAUAUUUUUGGUCGUAUCGAAGGUAUUCAUGUCCUCAUCAUCCUCCCCUUCUUGAAAACAAAGCCGUCCUCGGCGUUGCUUAAUCUGAAAUGUGGCUAACAAAAGAGACAAGGUGUACAUGUUGUAUAUGUAUAUGUCAUCCAUUUUUACUUCCCUUGGUUUUUGCACAAAUGACACAUGUAUACAUGAGUAAUUUUCAUAGUUCAUAAAAUUUGGAGCCGAAAUAUUAUCACAAGAAGUAGAAGGCAUGAAAAUAUUGCAACUCAGUUUGCACAUAUAAGUGAAGCUCUUAUUCAUAUCAAAGGACUGACAAUGUUCAUCAUUAAACCAUCCCAACAUUGGUGAAUAAACCUUAUUUGCAUCAAAUUUACAUUCUACAACAUGCUUAAAUAAGCAAACAUGCAAUAAGUCAUUUGACAUAUAAUCAUCACCAAGAUUAGAGGUCAUAUCAAAAUGAUUAAACAUUGGUUCUUUUGCAUCAACAGUUAAUUCAAUGGGUGCACUCAAAAUUGUUGGUAUUUCAGUUGUUUGACCACAUGAUGCAUUCAUGACAGUAACAAGAUUCUCUAAAAUAGGUGGUGUGCUCAAAUCAAGAGGUAACUCAACACAUGAUGCAUUCAAGUUAACUAGGCAUUCAUCAUUCUCAUGUGAAGUUAUAUCAACAGUACCUUUACCGUUACCUUGUCGCAAAGACGCAGCUGAUGUAGGUACGGACGUUGACAAUGUACCAUACUCUUGAGAUGAUGUCGCACUCAUAAUCCAAGGUGGGGCUGCUCUAGUAGGUGCAACGGUGGAGGAACCAACCGGCGGUGGUGAGCAUGAACUGGAAUAGUAGUUGUUGUAGUCUCCCAAUGCAUCCUCCCGUAUCUGUCCCUCAAAGGUACAAGCAUGAACAUACAUACCAGUAAUGCAACAAGGAAUAUACUGAAAUAUUUCCUGAAUAUCAUGGUUUAAACCAUCAAAAAAAAUCUAUUCAUUGUAUCAUCCUCAGAUUCUUCUAUGUCACAAUGAUGCAUAUAAGAUUUGAACUCUUGGUAGUAAGCAUGAACAGUGUUGUUGCCUUGUUUAAACUGUUGAAAUUAGCGGAGCAAUUCACGACGAUAGUAAGGAGGGAAAAAUUGUUGUCUCAUUACAUAUUUCAAAUCUUUCCAUGUUGUGGGUUGGUUAUCAAUGUUUUUCUUACAAUGCACACUCCACCAAACAUAAGAAAAACCAGUAAAUGCUCUAGUGGCAGAUCAUACUCGCUCAAGUUUAGAAAAGUCAUGGUGAUUAAAAACUUGUUCUACUUCAAGCUCCCAAGCUAGAUAAAUAGCAGGAUUAAAUCUACCCUCAAAUGACGGUAAAAAGUUAACCUGACCAUGUGCUUGUGUGUGUUGUCCCAACUCUCGUGAUGGUGAAGAUGUGUCCGUCGUCCAAGAACUUCUAUCUCCGGAACCUGUCAUGAUUAGUAGAAACAAGAAACAAAAUUCGAGAAUAAUGUUCCUAUGAACUACUAGGAUGUGGUUGUAAAGUUCUCACAGUAAAGCAAAUAUCAAUAUCUUACAAGUUCUUACCAUGCGGCAGGUGGUGACAAGCAACGAGCGGUUUCAAAUAACUCCAAAGAUUGUGUAAAGCAAUUGCCAGGGGAACGUACGUAUACACGGUGUAGAAAUAUGUGGAGCUGGGUUGGCUAUAUAUGGUAGCAAAAUAUUAGCAAUAAUCAAUUCAGAGAUGCAAUGUUGAAUAAACGCUCAACGAUGGCACUGUGCUGGUCCUAGGCUAGACCGGACUAGAGACAUGAGCCUAGAACACUAAUGAGGUCACGGCGUAGCACAACUAGCAGCAGUGAAUGAUACUAAGUAGCUCUGUGAUACGUCUCCGUCGUAUCUAUUUUUCCAAACACUUUUGCCCUUGUUUUGGACUCUAACUUGCAUGAUUUGAAUGGAACAAACCCGGACUGACGCAGUUUUCAGCAGAAUUACCAUGGUGUUAUUUAUGUGCAGAAACAACUGUUUUCGGAAUGACCUGAAACUUCACGGAGCAACUUUUUGGACAAUAUAAAAAAUACCUGCAAAAGAUGAAGGCCAGGGGGCCCACCACCUGUCCACGAGGGUGGGGGGUGCGCGUAUCCCCCUAGGGCGCGCCCCCUACCUCGUGGGCCCCCUGGAGCUCCUCCGACUCCGACUCCAACUCUAUAUAUUUGGUUUCGGGGAGAAAAAAAUCAGAGAGAAGAAUUCAUCGCGUUUUACGAUACAGAGCCGCCGACAGGCCCUAAAACCUCUCGGGAGGGCUGAUCUGGAGUCCGUUCGGGGCUCCGGAGAGGGGAAUCCAUCGCCAUCGUCAUCAUCAACCAUCCUCCAUCACCAAUUUCAUGAUGUUCACUGCCAUGCGUGAGUAAUUCCAUCAUAGGCUUGCUGGACGGUGAUGGGUUGGAUGAGAUCUAUCAUGUAAUCGAGUUAGUUUUGUUAGGGUUUGAUCCCUAGUAUCCACUUUGUUCUGAGAUUGAUGUUGCUAUGACUUUGCUAUGCUUAAUGCUUAUCACUAGGGCCGAGUGCUAUGAUUUCAGAUCUGAACCUAUUAUGUUUUCAUCAAUAUAUGACAGUUCUUGAUCCUAUCUUGCAAGUCUAUAGUCACCUAUUAUGUGUUAUGAUCCGUUAACCCCGAAGUGACAAUAAUCGCGAUACUUACCGGUGAUGACCGUAGUUUGAGGAGUUCAUGUAUUCACUAUGUGUUAAUGCUUUGUUCCGGUACUCUAUUAAAAGGAGGCCUUAAUAUCCCUUAGUUUCCGUAAGGACCCCGCUGCCACGGGAGGGUAGGACAAAAGAUGUCAUGCAAGUUCUUUUUCAUAAGCACGUAUGACUAUAUUCGGAAUACAUGCCUACAUUAUAUCAAUGAACUGGAGCUAGUUCUGUGUCACCCUAGGUUAUGACUGUUACAUGAUGAACCGCAUCCGGCAUAAUUCUCCAUCACUGAUCCAUUGCCUACGAGUUUCCAUAUAUUGUUCUUCGCUUAUUUACUUUUUUGUUGCUAUUGCUAUCAUCACUACAAAAUACCAAAAACAUUACUUUUACUACGGUUACCUUUUGCCACCGUUACCAGUACUAUCAUAUUACUUUUCUACUAAAUACUUUGCUGCAGAUAUUAAGUUUCCAGGUGUGGUUGAAUUGACAACUCAGCUGCUAAUACUUGAGAAUAUUCUUUGGCUCCCCUUGUGUCGAAUCAAUAAAUUUGGGUUGAAUACUCUACCCUCGAAAACUGUUGUGAUCCCCUAUACUUCUGGGUUAUCACUCUAUACAACAAGAUAUAAGUGAAGAUCACAACAACAGUAAAGAUAAUGAUAAAAAACAACUGGCAAGCAGGAUAUACAACAACUUUCUCUCAAACUUUUUUCUGGAAAAGUUUGUGCCAAUUUUUUGAUAAUUUUUCUCAAGAUUUGCACUAGCUCAAGCUUUCAAAUGCAAAAAGAAUCACUCAAUUCCGAGUUGAUAUGAGGAGUCAAAAAAUUCAAAAACUGGCAUGAAAAACUGGAGUAAGCUGUGUUCAUGCACUUCGGAGAGCAAAAAUACCUAUUUAGAAGACGAUUUUGAGGUGCCAAAUAUUGAAUAAGCUUCUGCAACUAUUUAGAUGCGGCUUGUCGCUAGCUUUCAUUUAAGUGCUUGCAAAGCCAAAACGGACUUCGUAUGAGGAAGUUAUGCCUGUUUUUCUGAACAGUGCACAAAACAGAUUCCAAUCCGAAUUCAACUACGAGAUUGAGUCUAAAUAGAUCCGAAUUUUGUUUUUUUCUUCUUUUUCUUUUACUCACACUUUUUUUACUUUUUUUCUCUUUUUUUCUCUCUCCCUCUUUCCAAAACAAACUAGAUAAGACGCAGAUUGGAUCAAGCAAAGAUGUGAACGAUCUCAACUAUGAUUGUGACAAUGAGCGAUGGGUAGCACGUGGUGGAAAUUGAUGGAUGGGUGGUGGACAGUUGAAGGGAUAACAAUGCAGCGGUGGCGUGACUAAUGUGAACAGAACUCAAAACUCUAAACAAACUAGACACUAAGACGAGCAACUCGACACAAUGAUGCAACCGAUAAUUCAACUAUGCAAGCAAUGAAAAGAAAAUUGCAAAGGCUCAGACUGGCUUGGACAAAGGAUGAAUUGAUCUAACUUUUUUUGUGGCUUUUUCUUGGACAAUAGGUAAGAAAAUAAAUCUAAUCUAGGAAAAACUGAAAUUCUCACCGAGCAACCUGAAAACAGAUACCGCUUGAUAGAGGCGAGGGUGUCCCGAUCUUUCGAUGAGAUGAUAACUAUCAGUUUGGUGGAGACGAAUUUGACGAUCCGACUACAAACGUGCAAGACGUCGCGCCUUAGCAAUCGCUAAACCAAUCUCCUGAGGUUACUGACAAUGCCGGAAGCACGGUCAGCCUGACCAUGAAGGUCUAUUCCUGCAAGCAAUCGAAGAAUGAGCAAGAAUAUGAUCAAGCAAUCUGAAUAUUGGGAAUAUAUAUGAAGUAUUGAUAAUGGUGGGGAUCCGUAAGCGGUCUUGGUCUGGUCGUUGGACACAAACGAACUACAUGAAGUUGCAAUGGCUAACUUUUAACUAAACAAAUCCCAAGGAAAAAGCUACUAGAUAGAUCUACUUAUAUAGGAGCAAGGGGUGGAGGCCAAGGAGGUGGGAGGACGUCCCAAGGCAGCCUAAAACUAAUCCUAGGUCGUACAAGGCUCACGUGCCCAAGUGGAGGUGGUGCAACACCUUUGGGCUUGUAAUUUGACUCGGAUUCUGCUGCAAUGUCAGAUUGUUUCGUCCAUAACUCAACGCUCCGGACGAAUUUAAAGGCGAAUCCAAUUGUGUUGGAAAGAGCACAAAAUCUACGUUCAAACAAAAAAAUAAUCACCCAAUUCGGAGUCCGUAUGAAAAAGUUGUUGGCGUUUUGAGUCAGGUAUGUCUGUGAAGUCCGGAUCUGAAUCCAGAAUGUGAGAGACUUGGACUCUAUCUUCUCUUGGCCCAAAAGUGACGUGAGAGAACUUUUUUAACAGCACAUAAACUUCUCUUUUUCCCUUAUCUUCAUAUGUGGAGUGUACAAAUGACCCAUACACCUGCAAUUAGACAUGACACAAAAGUUUGUGAAGUAUUUUUGUCCUGAAUGACAUAAAUAAAUUAUUGCAUAGUUUGCAUUAGAAAUCACCUCACAAAUAUACAUGUAUGCAAAAUUUUUGGUCGUAUCCAAGGUAGUUGAUACGUCUCCAACGUAUCUAUAAUUUUUGAUUGCUCCAUGCUAUAUUAUCUACUGUUUUGGACAUUAUUGGGCUUCAUUAUCCACUUUUAUAUUAUUUUUGGGACUAACCUAUUAACCGGAGGCCCAACCCAGAAUUGCUGUUUUUUGCCUAUUUCAGAGUUUCACAGAAAAGGAAUAUCAAACAGAGUCCAAACGGAAUGAAACCUUGGGAACGUGAUUUUCGGAACGAACAUGAUCCAGGAGACUUGGACCCUACAUCUAGAAAUAAAGGAGGAAUCCAAGAGGUAGGGGGCGCGCCUACCCCCUCCCCCCCCCCAAGUGCGCCCUCCACCCUCGUGGGCCCCCUGUUCCUCCACCGACGUACUCCUUCCUCCUAUAUAUACCUACGUACCCCCAAACGAUCAGAUACAGAGCCAAAAACCUAAUUCCACCGCUGCAACCUUCUGUAUCCACGAGAUCCCAUCUUGGGGCCUGUUCCGGAGCUCCGAUGGAGGGGCAUCCAUCACGGAGGGCUUCUACAUCAACACCAUAGCCUCUCCGAUGAAGUGUGAGUAGUUUACCUCAGACCUUCGGGUCCAUAGUUAUUAGCUAGAUGGCUUCUUCUCUCUUUUUGGAUCUCAAUACAAUGUUCUCCCCCUCUCUUGUGGAGAUCUAUUCGAUGUAAUCUUCUUUUUGCGGUGUGUUUGUUGAGACCGAUGAAUUGUGGGUUUAUGAUCAAGAUUAUCUAUGAUCAAUAUUUGAAUAUUCUCUGAAUUCUUUUAUGUAUGAUUGGUUAUCUUUGCAAGUCUCUUUGAAUUAUCAGUUUGGUUUAGCCUACUAGAUUUAUCUUUCUUGCAAUGGGAGAAGUGCUUAGCUUUGGGUUCAAUCUUGCGGUGUCCUUUCCCAGUGACAGUAGGGGCAGCAAGGCACGUAUUGUAUUGUUUCCAUCGAGGAUAACAAGAUGUUUUUUUUAUCAUAUUGCAUGAAUUUGUCCCUCUACAUCAUGUCAUCUUGCUUAAGGCGUUACUCUGUUUUCAUUAACUUAAUACUCUAGAUGCAUGCUGGAUAGCGGUCGAUGAGUGGAGUAAUAGUAGUAGAUGCAGGUAGGAGUCGGUCUACUUGUCUCGGACGUGAUUCCUAUAUACAUGAUCAUACCUAGAUAUUCUCAUAACUAUGCUCAAUUCUGUCAAUUGCUCAACAGUAAUUCGUUCACCCACCGUAAAAUACUUAUGCUCUUGAGAGAAGCCACUAGUGAAACCUAUGGCCCCCGGGUCUAUCUUCAUCAUAUUAAUAUUUCAAUACUUAGUUAUUUCCUUUGCUUUUUUACUUUGCUUUUAUUUUACUUUGCAUCUUUAUCAAAAAAAUACCAAAAAUAUUAUCCUAUCAUAUCUAUCAGAUCUCACUCUCGUAAGUGACCGUGAAGGGAUUGACAACCCCUUAUCACGUUGGUUGCGAUGAGUUAUUUGUUUUGUGCGGGUACGAGGGACUCGCGCGUAGCCUCCUACUGGAUUGAUACCUUAGUUCUUAAAAACUGAGGGAAAUACUUACACUACUUUGCUGCAUCAUCCUUUCCUCUUCAAGGAAAUCCAACGCAAUGCUCAAGAGGUAGCAGUAGUCAUGUCCUCAUCCGAGGUGGUUCUCUUAGGUACCAAGGUCUGAACACCUCGAUCACUAUAGUUGCAAACAUGACCAUGGAAAACCUGACCAUGACAUCUCGUGCUCUCAGACAUCCGUAGGUACUCGUCACAUGAAUCAGCGGCCGUUCCAUAUGCAAGCAUCCGGAGUGUGGCCGUGCACUUCUAGUAACUGGCGAACCCAAUCGUUCCCACGGCGUCCUUCUUCAGGAUGAAGUAGUCAUCACAGGACCAGACGCCAUGGUACAAACGGUCGAAGACAGUCUUGCACAUCCUAAAAGGCCAGCGAAAAUGGUCAGCGAAGAGCCGAAGAGUGCGUCGGGGGCAAAGUAGUCGGCCAUCGGUGUCAAAAUGGCCACGCUCUCUGUUGCGGUUGAGCACUCGAUGACCCUUUAUCGAGCCCUUGAAACUAAGAACAUACUCUUCUGCAUGCUCCGCGUCUUUAAGGACCGCCUGCAUCAUCACCGUCUCAUCCAAGUACUCCUCCUCGUCCGAUGAGCCGUCAGACGACUCAACAUACUGUUCGUAUAUGUACUCCAAAUCGAAAUCCAUUGCUAGAAAGAAGGGAAAACUAUUUUUAGCUCCAAUGAUUCAUCGAACAGUUGCCGAGCAUGGUGAGUAUAACAGUAGCGGAUGGUACCUGGCGGGGCGGUCAGAGAAUAGAGGUUGAACAACGACGGAGGAGAAGCGGGGUGGAACCCUGCUGAAACGCUGGAGGUGAAGAAGACGUAGAGUUUCGGUAGAGGUGUGGCGUGGUGGCCGGGGUAGUGAAGCGGCGGCGAAGGCAAGAGAGAAAGAAGGAAGAAGAGAAAACAAGAAGGAUGAAGCCGCGUGGUCCGAGAAGGGUUUUGGGUGGGCCGGGGGUGUUGGAGUCCUAUGUGUUUGGUGUCCGGACUCCCGCAAAGCUUCCCAUGUUUGUCGACGGUUUAGGAGAAAACACGUCCGGACCGCGACGCGGACCAAUACAUACCGGCGUUAGAUGACUUCACUGGUCUAUACAAUGCGGUUUGGACGGAUGUGGGUGGUUUGCGGGUCCGCUUUGAAGAUGCUCUAACUAUCCAAUCACAGAUUCGUUCGCAUUACAAAAUUUAAGAAGGUGUUCUUCGUACUACUUUGACCGUUGAUGAAUAGAGUGGAUUUUUUAAAAAAAGAAUAACAAUUAAAAAGAAAGAUGAUGAUCAGCAUCAGACUCAGAGCAUCUCCAACAGCUGCGCCAAACUAGCGCCGUGCCGCAAAAUUGCCCGUUUUAGCGCGCGCGCAACUGGUAUAGUUGCUCCAGCGGGCGCGCAAAAACAGUGCAUGCGGCAUAUGUAGUUCAGCGCGCGGGCCGAAACUCAAUCACGCAUCGCUUAUUUGCCGCGCCCGCUCCCGCGCGCCAGACUCUCGCGCGCUCGCUCGCAACUCCCACCCCCAUCCAGCCGCGCCGCCGCCGCCGACCGCGCCACCCGACGACCGUUCCGGCGCUUCCCCGGCCUAUCCCCGCCCCGCCGCGGCUUCUCCAGCCCCCCUCUAGUCCCGGCGCCCCUCGCGUGCGUCCGUCCUCCGACGAACAGUGCCCGCGCGCUUGCUGCCGCUCGGCGCCCGCAAGGUGUUCGACAAAACGCCAAGAAGGUAUGUAUUGCUCAAAAGUCAUGAAUUUCGUGCAUGUUGAUUGUAGUUUUUAUAUCAUAGUAUUGAACAUUGUAGAUGAGUUCAUCGUAUGAUUCUUCUUAAGAAGAAUUUGAUAUGGAAGAGGAGGAGGAUCUUGCAAUGAUCCUAGCUAUGCAUAUCAAUAAAAAACCGAAGCAUGGUUGUUCGGUUAUGGUCGGCAGAAAAUUUGGAGGGAUAUGAUCGAUGCCCACAACAAAUUGAUCAGACAUUAUUUUGCGGAGAAUCCCACAUACCCCGAGUCGUAUUUUCAUCGCCGGUUUAGGAUGAGCACCGAGUUGUUCAGGCGCAUUGCAGAGAAACUAGCGAGCCAUGACCGCUUUUUUCAGCAAAGGAGGAAUGUCGCCAGAGAGCUUGGGCAUAGCACCUUUCAGAAGGUGACAGCCGCUUUGCGUAUGUUGGCAUACGGUAUACCGGCUGACCUAGUUGAUGAUCACUUGGCUAUGGGUGAGAGCCAAGCCAUCAUGUGUGUCAAGCGCUUCGCAGUCGGAAUUGUGCAAGUGUUUGGCGAGGAGUAUUUGAGAUCUCCCAAUGCUGAAGACGCCUCAAGGCUAUUGGCGAUGAACAAAGCUCGCAGCUUUCCUGGCAUGCUUGGCUCAAUAGAUUGCAUGCAUUGGAGUUGGAAGAAUUGUCCAAAGGCAUGGCAUGGGCAAUUCCACGGCCAAAAAAAGGGUUCCACUAUAAUCCUUGAAGCGGUGGCCGAUCAAGAGACUUGGAUUUGGCAUGCAUUCUUUGGAAUGCCUGGAUCUUUGAACGACAUCAAUGUUGUCAACCGGUCACCACUGAUGAAUAAGAUUGCAAAUCGUGAGUUGCCACCGGUGCAGUUUGUAGCAAAUGGCCGUACAUACAACUAUGGCUAUUAUCUAGCGGAUGGCAUCUAUCCAAAGUGGCAAACCUUUGUCAAGCCGUUGAAAAAGCCAGAAGGUAAGAAAAAUCUUGAUUUCCACAAUGCUCAGGCGGCGGCUAGAAAAGAUAUGGAGGGAGCUUUUGGGAUUUUGCAAGCCCAAUUUGCUAUUGUGAGAGGACCGGCUAGAUUUUGGGAUCAGAAAAUGCUUUGGUACAUCAUGCACGCUUGUGUGAUCAUGCAUAACAUGAUCAUCGAGAAUGAGCGUGGCCAAGAUGUAGACUACUCUCAGUAUGAGCUCUUGGGACAUCCCGUGCAAGUGCGACGGAGGACUGAAAGGGUGGCCCAUUUUGUUGCCUCCUAUCAUGCCAUUCGACGUCCCGCAGCGCAUAAUGAUUUUCAGAAGGAUCUAAUUGAGGAGUGGUGGGCAUGGAAUGAACGACAAAGAGUAUCAUGAUUUAUGUGUUCGAUAUUGUAUUGAUAAACUAUUUGUUAUGUUUAUUGCACUAUUUGUUGUAUUAAACAAUAAACUGUUUGUUUGAGUUGUAAUAAUGAAAUUGAACUAUUUAUUUUGAUUUAUUUUUGUUUGUGUUUGAUCUUUUUGCUUCUGUUUUGGAAUGCAUAUGUUGUUUGUGCGACAGUCGCGCACGCUGCUUUUUAACGCGGCUGCUGGAGCCAGCACUACGCGCCGCGCCAAACCAGGCGACCGGCGCGCGGCAAAGCAGUUUUUUGCGCGCGGCGCGUUCGGCGCCUGUUGGAGAUGCUCUCACGAGUCAUGCAUGCGAACUCUUCUAUUUAGCAUGCAGAUCUCUUCUUCUGUGCUUUGUUCUGAAUUCUCGCACCUGCCCGUCGCCAUGCCGUCGUCCAUAUACGCCGCACCACAGGCAAGCGCAAGCAACGGCGUUGGCAAUGGCGACGGCAAGCCACACGUGCUUGUUGUCCCUUACCCGGCGCAUGGUCACAUGCUGCCUCUCCUCGACCUCGCGGCGCUGCUCACCGCACGGGGCCUCGCGCUCACCGUCGCCGUCACGGCAGGCAACGUCCCGCUCCUCGCGACAUUCCUCGCAGCGUUCCCGUCAGUCGCCACCGUCGUUCUGCCUUUCCCUUCCUCGCCGUUCCUCCCGGCCGGGUGCGGCGAGAACACCAAGGACCUCCCGGCCGAUCUCUUCCGCCCGUUCAUGGCCUCCCUGGCGGCCCUCUCCGCGCCUCUCCUCUCCUGGUGCAAGUCCCAGCCCCGCGGCGUGACGGCCAUCGUCUCCGACCUGUUCAUGGGGUGGACACUCCCGCUCAUCGAGGAGCUCGGCGUGCCGCACGUGGCCUUCUCGUGUGCCAACGUUCACUACCUCGCCACGACGCACUCCCUCUGGUGACGCAUGCCGACGAGGCUCCGCCUCGACGACGCCGACGAGACUGUCACCUUCUCGGAGGCGCCCGGCUCGUCUAGCUUCCCUUGGCGCAGCCUGCCGUGGAUGUUCAGGGUGCAUGUGCCCGGCGACGAGGUGUCAGAGACGAUCCGGCGGAUCUUCCUAUGGAAUAUAGAGAGCUCGUGCUUCAUGGCAAACUCGUUCGUGACGCUCGAGGCGGCCUACGUGGAGCGCCCGCUCCCCGACCUGAUGGCGAAGUGGGUGUUCGCGGUGGGCGCGCUGUCGGACGACGUGCGCAACUGCGACGAACAUGGCGGGAAGCCAGCGAUGGCCCCGGCGAAGGUGACCGCGUGGCUGGACGGGUUCGACGACGGCUCCGUCGUGUACGUCUGCUUCGGGUCGCAGCAGGCGCUGUCACCGGCGCAGGCGGCGUGAGUGGCCGGCGCUCUAGCGCUGGCUCGGUGGCUUUCGUCUGGGCGGUGAGGAGCGGCACCGUCGUGCCGGAGGGGUUCGAGGCCGCAGCCACGGCGGCGUCACGGGGCAUGGCAAUCCGCGGGUGGGCGCCGCAAGUGGAGAUCCUGUGCCACCGCGCCGUGGGGUGGUUCCUCACGCACUGCGGGUGGAACUCGGUGCUCGAGGCGACCGCGGCCGGCGUGGCAAUGCUCACGUGGCCGAUGGGCGCCGACCAGUUCAUCAACGCGUCGGUGCUUGCGGAGGCAGGCGUGGCGGUGCCGGUGGCAGAGGGCGCCGACGCCGUGCCAGACGCUGGAAAGAUGGCGAGCGUCAUCGCUGCAGCUGUCGCAAAGGAGGGGGAGUCCGUGAGAAAGCGUGCGGUGGAGCUCGGCCGGAAGGCGGCCACCGUGGUGGCGGAGGGCGGAACCUCGCACAUUGAUUUGGAAGAGUUGGUGCGUGUGCUCAGUGACGUCGACUACUACCUCCGUUCCUAAAUAUUUGUCUUUCUAGAGGUUUCAAAUGGUGACUACAUGCGGAGCAAAAUGAGUGAAUCUACAGUUCUACACUCUAAAAUAUAUCCAUAUACAUCCAUAUGUGAUGACCAUUUGAAAUCUCUAGAAAGACAAAUAUUUAGAAACGGAGGGAGUAGUAUUUAUAUUCCUUGUAUUUUUUUGAACUUAUAUUCCUUGUAUUUUCAUUUCAUUGUAGAUGAUGAAUGUGUUUUUCUGGGACCGUCUAUCCAUAAGAUACCUGAAAAUAAAUUUGCAUCUUGGUCCUGCCAGCCAUCUGGAUCGGGGAUGAACGGCCACAUCUCCUUCCUCCUCCAACCGCAUGUUCACCUUGUUCCUUCAAUCGUGCAGCCUCCCUCCGAUCCAGCCCUAACCGUCCGCCUCCGCCACCCGUGGCCGGCGGCUAUCGCCACCCUGCCCUCCCCUCGACCUCCCCCCACCGCCGUGUCCGCCACCCUGGCCGUCCCUCUAAGCCUCACCGCACCAGUGAACAACUCCCACGAUCCCCUGUGUUGGGUUUAGUCCCACAUCGAUUGUGGGAGAAGGAAGAACACGAUUUAUAAGGGCAGGGUAUCCCCUCCUAACAGGCUAGUCUUUUGGGGGGAGAGGACCCAAGGCUUCUCAUAAGUCGGUGUUGCUCUCCGGUUGGCCCUGGUUGACGCAUGUGGGUCGGAACGCUUGUGAUAGCGGACUCGGGAUUGCGUAACAAGUGGUAUCAGAGCAAGGUUCGAUUUGAGGUUGCCGAAAUUGAUUUAGAGGUGAUCCAGUUGGCGCAGCAGCGCGAUACUCGGCAAGAUCGGAAACAGCAUUGGUGGCGUGUAGCGGCGGCUGGUAUCGCGCUGGAGACGAGGACCAGCAGCGCUAGGGCAUGCGGCGACUGAGUGCAUCGUUGCAUGAUGGGCUGGUGGCUCCGUGCGGCAUGUGGGCGAGAGGCCCAAGCGUGCCUAGCCUAAGGCCCAGGUGCAGCCAAGGCCUGAGGAGCCGAAUGGCUGAAGAAGGCCUGGUGUGCAAGCGUGGCAUGCGUGCGUUUGCCGGGAUUGAGAUGUGCGUUGCUAUGCUCAAGGAUGGUCAGAUGUGAGAUUUCUUUGGUUUAAAAAAAGAGGAGUUGCUAGGUCCAACGCAUGUGCACAGGAGUAGUUGGGAUGGAUCAUUCCGAUCUGAUUUUCUGCUGGGUGCAUAGAGAAGUUAAUAUAUCAAACAUGGGUAAGAUAAUUUGCAAACAUGGGAUUUGUCUGUUCAAGUUUGCAUGGAAGUUUUGCUAGGUUGGUUUGAUCAGAUGGUUUGGAGCGUGUGGACAAGCAACGGAGCGCGCAGACAAGUGUGUCGUCAGGAUCAUGCAGACACAUGGUGUCAAGCAAUGCACGGAGAUGUGCGUGCGGACAUGACGCAGGGUGGAGCAUGAUUGCAGUCGGAUAAUUCGGCUGGGUCGAACUGGAUAGUCUGAUGGAUCGACGGGGAUGUUGGUCAAAGCAGAAGACGGUGUGAUUUCAGCGACAACGACAUAGGAGCGUGAUGCUGAUGGUGGCCGACUUCUGAGGCGUGGAAACACGUGGUGCAGGCCUUAGGGCUUGUCCGGCUUCGACAGACUAUAGCGCGAGGUUGAUUCAAGACGGUGCACACAAGAGAGCUUGAAGUCGACAGGCGCAGGGCAGCAUAGCGCAGCUACAUGGAGUCAUGUUGAAGGUGGAGCUGGAGUCUGAUGGACGACUUUCACUCUAUGCUGAUGGAGGGGCUACAGCGUAAGAAUUCGGAGAGUCGAAGCCUAUUUCAGCGGGAUAGCGAGAGACGCGUGGAUCGGACUGGGUACCAAUGGUCUGAUGGAGACGUGAUACUUGGCAUCGGUAGGUGAUGAUCGGUGGUUCUCUGCAGUGGGGGUUGAGACAGUGUGGGCUAGCUACCCGGGAGACUCGACCAGGACAGCAGAGGCUCGACGCGGUGAUAGCGGCGAGGCGUGCGGUAAGCACGGGACACAGCGACAGGCCAAUGCACUGGUUGUCGGACAUGUGGUCAAACAAAGUGUGCAGGGGGUGCUAAAGCAGUGUUGACGAGUACCAGAUUCAAGUUGGUGACUGGGUCUAUCGGUGCCGGUUGAUGGACAGAAGUUGACCAGAGAAUCUGAGAAAGUGAUGGAAAGUCUGAAGUUGUCAAAAUAGAGAGAGUACAUGGCCGUAUAUUCUGUGGUGUUGGGUGCACAUGGCAAAGUGCGGAUGACAAGACAGAAGGAGGCGGAGUGCUAUAGUUGUGGGACAUGUCAAAGGGUAUCCGCGAAAAAGGAUGAGACAACUGCGAAUUUGACUCAGGGUGACACAGGGCGACGGUGAAAUUCCUUCAAAUUUCAGAAAGGCGGUCAAGAAAGAGUGGUGAUGUUGAGUUCGGGUAACUCUUAUAUGUGACGUCCAAUAUGCGAGUUGUUCAUUUUCACGCAGCUAGUGGUCGGUGUGUGAUGGCGUUGAGCGGAUACUCCGGAAGUUAGGAGCACAAAGUAGAGUAAUGAGAAACUUAAUUCUCUGCUCGAGUGUAGACUGUGAAGAUGAUAAGAAGGGACUAUAGUUGUAGGUGGAGUCACAUGGAGUAUGUGAGUAGCAGUGGUGCUCAUGGCGUAUCUCAAAUCCAACGUACAUGGAGGUUCGACGCAUGGAUGAAUCUGAGGUGGUGAAGAAUACUCGCCAAGGUGGAAUUUGGUAUCAGAGCUAUCACUAGCAUUUCGACCCACAUGCAUCAAUCAGGCCCAACCAGAGAGCAACACCGACUUCGAAGUGAAGUUUCGCCUCUUAGUUUCUCUGCACAGAAUAACACUGCAUCUACCAUAUUAGCAGAGGUCAAUAUGUUGGAGCGGUGACCUCAAACGAAAGCUACAGUUCUACACAUGUGACGUCGAAGCACCGUGACUCCAUAGGUGUUGCACGCCUUCUGUUCGCCAAAGAAAAUAAAAGGUGCGAGGUCCAAUUGCUAAAUUAAGCUAUUCAUACUAUUUUGCUCAUGUUGACUGUGCUGUUUUGGCUCAACAUGAUGCAGGCAAUAUUAUUACGUGGAGAUAGGGAAGAUGGCCAAGCACACUAGCGGUUAGUGGCUAGUUUGUAACGCCCAUGAUGCGGCUAUAUCUCCCACGUGUCAAAGCAUGACUUAGAGGCAUAACCACAUUGUAAGCAAUGUCGCAAGUGGGGUAAUCUUCACACAACCCAUGUAAUGAAUAAGGAAAAGAGGUACAUAGUUGGCUUACCCUCGCCACGUCACACAAUAGCAUAAAUAUCAUUACAUUCGUCCAGAUACAAUCAAGGUCUGACUACGGAACCAAGAUAAAGAACAACUCCAAAUGCAACAAAGUCCCCGAUCGUCCCAACUGGGCACCACUACUGAUUGUCUGGAAAGGAAACAUAGUAUCGUCCUGAGUCCUCAUCGAACUCCCACUUAAGCUCAGUCGAAUCUCCUGGAGCGGUAUCAUCGGCCCCUGCAUCUGGUUUUGGAAGUAAUCUGUGAGUCACGGGGACCCAACAAUCUCACACCCUCGCGAUCAAGACUAUUUAAGCUUAUAGGUAGAUAAAAGGUAUGAGGUGGAGCUACAGCAAGCACUAGCAUAUAUGGUGGCUAACAUACGCAAAAGAGAGCGAGAAGAGAAGGCAAAGGCACGAUCGAUAAACUAUGAUCAAGAAGUGAUCCUAGAACAACCUACGUUCAAGCAUAACACGAGACCGUGUUCUCUUCCCGGACUCCGCCGAAAAGAGACCAUCACGGCCACACACUCUGUUGAUUCAUUUUAAUUAAGUUAAGUUUAAGGUUUUCUACAACCGGACAUUAACAAAUUCCCAUAUGCCCAUAACCGUGGGCACGGCUUUCGAAAGUUUAAAUCCCUGCAGGGGUGUCCCAACUUAGCCCAUCACAAGCUCUCAUGGUCAACGAAGGAUAUUCCUUCUCCCAAGACAAUCCGAUCAGACUCGGAAUCCCGGUUACAAGACAUCUCGACAAUGGUAAAACAAGUCCAGCAAGACCACCCGCUGUGCCGACAAAUCCCGAUAGGAGCUGCACAUAUCUCGUCCUCAGGGCACACCGGAUAAGCUAAGCGUACGAGAGCCAACGUAACCCAAGUUGCCAAGGGACGGCCCCGCACGGUGCUCUAGGUUGGACCAAUACUCAGAGGAGCACUUGCCCGGGGGUUUCAAAUAAAGAUGACCCUUGAGUCCGUGAAACCCAAGGGAAAAGGCUAGGUGGCGAAUGGUAAAACCAAGGUUGGACCAUGCUGGAGGAGUUUUAUUCAAGGCGAACUGUCAAGGGGUUCCCAUUAUAACCCAACCGUGUAAGGAACGCAAAAUCAAGGAACAUAACACCGGUAUGACGGAAACUAGGGCGGCAAGAGUGGAACAAAACACCAGGCAUAAGGCUGAGCCUUCCACUCUUUACCAAGUGUAUAGAUGCAUUAAAAUAGACAAGAUAAUAUAAUGAUAUCCCAACAAUAAACAUGUUCCAACAAGGAACAAACUCCAAUCUUCACCUGCAAUUAACAACACUAUAAAAGGGGCUGAGCAAAGCGGUAACAUAGCCAAACAACGGUUUGCUAGGACAAGGUGGGUUAGAGGUUUGACAUGGCAAUAUGGGAGGCAUGAUAAGCAAGUGGUAGGUAUCGAAGCAUAGUCAUAGCAAUAGAGCGAGCAUCUAGCAAGCAAAGAUAGAAGUGAUUUCGAGGGUAUGGUCAUCUUGCCUGUAAAGUUCUCCGAGUUGACGUUAGCUUGAUCCUCGUAAGUGUACUCAACAGGUUCCUCGAUCACGUAAUCGUCUCCCGGCUCUACCCAAGCAAGAACACAAGCAAAGGGAGACACAAUCAACCACGUGCAAUGCACAAACAACAUGAUGCAAAACAUGUCAUGAUAUGCGGGAUGCGAUAUGCGAUGCAUAUGCAUGUUUCGGAAAGGAAAGAUUGCACCUGGCCUCAACUUGGAAAACCAAGAGUGCCACUUGAAUGAUGAGUUCAUUUUGGUCGAAAUCGAUAUAAAGAUCACCAGAAUCGGAUGCACGGUUUGCAAAUGACAAGCAAAACAAAUAAUACACCGAUCUGCGAUUAACAGCACGAGGCCAUCUAAAUGCAUCAGGAACAACAAGCUACUACACUCCAACAUAACAACAAAAUACAUGGCAGUGAUCCACUCAAGAUGCUUGACAAAAAAUGAACACUGAGCUACGGCUAAUUCACUCAAUAGCAGGUUCAAACAAGCAUGGCAAAAGUGCAAAAGAUAUCAGGUUACAGACUUAGUGAAAAUAACAACAUGCCAGGAAUUUAACAUCAGGAAGGAACGUUUAGAGCAAGAUAACAACAUGCUACAGGAACAUAGGCAUGAAGCUACUCAAAGCAUACAACAAAAGUCCCUUACUGACCAUAAGCCAAGGACGUCGAUAACUGCCACACGUGUGGCAGGAAAGGAGACGCACCACACGUCUCUAAUGCAAAUAGAUUGCCACGUCAUCGAAUGCAUGCAUGCGAGAAUCUUUUUGGAUUUUCAGUUUUUAAAAUGUUUUAUCUCUUAAAUGAAAAAUCUGAUUGAAGAUCUGUUUUCACCAUUAAAUCCCUCGCGACGAGAUCUUCAAAACUAGAUCUCAUAUUGAUAUAUUUUGGCAAAAAAAAUUUGGGUUAAAAGUUGCCAUGUCUAUUGCACAUGAAUUGCCAUGAUAUUUACACUGAAGUUGCCAUGAUAUGUUUCAACUAUUAUCUUUUACAUUUAAAAGUAAAUUUUAACAUAUUAUAAAAUGGAGAUUAACAAACUAGACUUGCCAUGCACCAUAAACUAAAAUUGCCAUGAUACAUGCACUUAAAAUUGCCAUGGUUCAAUAAAAAAUAUUUUCAUGGUCAAAGUACUGGAAUUGCCAUCAUUGAAAAACUAAAAUUGCCAUAAUCUACAAACUAAAAAUGCCACAUGGCCACUUUAGUUUAAGCACUAUGGCAACUAUAGUGUAAAUAUCAUGGCAACUUCUGGGCAAAAAAAAAUUCAUCAAAACAUAUCAACAUGGGGUCUAGAUUUGAAGAUCUCGUCGAGACGGAUUUAAUGGUGAAAAUGGAUUUUUAGUUCGCUUUUUUAUUUAGGAGAUAAAACAUUUUUAAGCCGAAAACAAAAAAGAUUUCUGCUGAUGUCAUCUAAUCACCCACGCGUGUGGGCGUUAGUUUUUCCGUAAGACAAAAAGGAUCAGAAAAUACAAUGGCAACCAUGUGAACAUAGCCACUUUCGUUAACAGAUUCAGACUUAGUAGAAAACUGGAACAUGGCAAAACAGAUAUUAAGUAGGCAUGUUUACGAGCUCGAUGCACUCACCACAAGGCAUUGCAUGACAAACUAAGCAUACCCCCAACAAGUAGACAUGGCAUAGAAGCUAAACAUGGCAAGAACAACCUCAAAGCAUGCAUGGAUCAACUACAACAACCUUGGAAAAAUUGCUUAACAUGUAAACAAUCUGCCGGGAACAUUUUAUAGCAAAAGUAGAGCUCGAUUGAGUCAUGCUAGGGUGCUCCAUAAUUGCAGACAAAGACAUGGAUGGGUAGAGCACCACAAUAUCUACAAAACAUCCUUACUGAUCAUGCUCAAAAGAGGCAUGGAUCACUCUGUAGCAACAUGAAUACAUGGCAUAAAAAUAUUGACAGGGCAAAGGCUUAGAAGAUUUCUAUGUCCCUGAAAUCAGCAACAUUACGAGAGCUACUUUACAUGCUUGUGCUAGUCACCAUAGAGAUCACAAAAAUACAUGGCGUACACCCCUGUAAAGAUGGCAUGGCAUACUUCAAAACUCAUGUAGGGCUCAAGUUCAUAGGAGGCACACAACAAUCAUGGCAAAAAUGACAAAAGUCCAAUUACUGAUAAGAAUCUGAAACUAAUAUAAACUAGCACUCUUGCAAUAGCAUUUAGGGAAUCAAGAUGAACUCAAAUGAACAUGAUGCAAUGAGAUGAAAUGAAGUACUCGUCGAGACGAACAAUUUGAUAUGCUACAUGCCCAAAACGGAGUCACGGUUGCAGAGUUAUGAUGCGAUGAAAUAUGCAUAAAAAUACUGAAACAGAGGAAAAAAGUCAACCCGAUCCAGAUCUAGGGUUUGCACGCGGAUCGAGACGCUUGCCGGAGAGUCGCCGGAAUCGUCGGGGAAGAAGAAAGCAGCGGCCGGCGGGUGAGGAAGAGGUGGCCGGAGCGGGCCCCGAGCGGCGCGGCGAGGACGGCGGCGCGGCGGCGGAAGUCAACGGCGGGGCGGCGACCGGGCGAGGAGGUCGACGACGACGGCGGUCGGCAACGGCGAGAGGAGGUGGGCGGUGUGGUUGUCCGGCGAGGAGGCGCGGCGUGGAGCGAGCUGGGCGGCGCAAGGCUUCGGGCCGGGGAGGGCCCGCGAUGGGCUCCAGCGGGCCGCACGGUGGGAGGAGGUGUCCGGGCCACGUGUCAUGCCCUGGUUGGGAGCGGACGGCGGCGGCGAGGCGUCCGGCGCGCGGAGAGGAGCGGGGCUAGGGUUUAGGGUGGUUUGGAUCCGGAAUUUCGAGGGAGGAGUGCCUUUUUAUAGGUAGGAGGAGUUAGGAGGCUCCAAAUUGAGCACGGUUUGCGGCCACACGAUUGUGAUCGAACGACCUAGAUGAUGGAGGGGGUUUAGGUGGGUUUUGGGCGACUUUGGAGGGAUGUUGGGCUGCAACACACACGAGGCCUUCUCGGCUCCUCGGUUAACCGUUGGAGUAUCAAACGAAGUCCAAAUGGUAUGAAACUUGACAGGCGGUCUAUCGGUAGUAAACCAAGGCCGCGUGGCAAGUUUCGGUCCAAUUCGAGAAUGUUUAAUACCCGCACACGAAAAGAGGUAGAAAGGGACACCAGAGGACAUAGGAGCGCCGGAAUGCAAAACGGACAACGGGGAAAAAGCUCGGAUGCAUGAGACGAACACGUAUGCCAAUGCGAUGCACAUGAUGACAUGAUAUGAAAAGCAUGAUAAAGACAAAAACACACGAAGAAAAAAA